GGGGACUCACGCAGCCUGUCGUGCCUGGAGACAAAAUGUGAAACCAGCAACACAUAGAGCCACUGUGUAUAUGGAAAUGACAUCGCACACGUAUUUUUUAUUUGAUGAAAGACAUCUCACACGUUGGACAACAAAUGGCAAUUCCAUUUCAUGCGAUCGAUCGAGCAAAUAAAUGGAAAUCAACCACCAGCUAGCUACGUAGCUACGUAGAUUACAUCAGAGGAUUCGGCGCCGGCAAGCUAGCAAUCGCAUAUGCCAAUUGGGACAGCCAGUCGGCGUAGAUGUUCUCCUUGCCCAAUGGAUUCUUGUUCGCGCUCCCCUCGAACAAGAGCAGGUCGCACCUGUCGGGAUCUUGGUUGGCCUCCAGCAGUUUGCCGGACGCCGCUUCGACGCGCCCGGCACGGAGGUCACCCAGCGCGGCGUCCAGGGUCCUCUUCAUCUCCCUGUAGUAGCGGAGGCAGCCGCCGAGGUUCUUGACGAGGUCCUCGACGGCGAGCACCGUCGACGUGACGUUGGCCACGGUGAGGCUGGUGGCCACGACGGCGAGCUCACGUGCGUCCUUGGCGGACGCGGCCGCCGGGUCGGACGAGAGCGCGCCCACGCAGGAGUCGUACUCGUAACCCAGUUGCCCACCGGGUCGGCCGACGGCGGCGCAUGUCCUUGUGAUGAUCGCGGACGGAGUGCCGACGGCGAGGAUGCCGUCUCCGGUAGCCAGGAGGAGGAUGAGGGUGAGGAGUAAAGCAACCUGAGGAUGCAUCGCCAUCGUCGGUCCUACCCACCUCGCCGUGACUAUCACCAGUCGGCGGCGUGUAUUUAUGCACGCAACGAAUAGAACAGAUUAAGUAACGGUAGGAAUGAAAUUAAUACAUCAAUAUUAUGCUUUUGCAAUCUUUACCAAAUCAAUCAGAUCUAGCUAGCUUUAGAGUCUUUAACGACGGAAGACAAAAUCCUGUAUUUAUUGAGAGAAAUCGGUUACUAGAUCAUGCGUUAAUGACUCCCAUUUGUCGAUCAUAAAUUGGAAAGUUUGGAGGUAAUCAUACAUGGAUUAUUUUCACUUAUUUUCGCCUCACCUCCCACCACCACCUCUCAACUCCGAUUUUUCGUGGUAAGUGCUGAUUCAAUUAAAUCACGUAAAUAUUAGGUAAUCAGGAAUUUAAAAAUCACACCAUAUAUGUGCAACCACUUUUCUAAAAGAUAAGCAUGAGAUUUUUUUUCUUAAUAACCUUUCAAAAUGAAAUCAAAUAUUUCUCAAUAACAAAUUGCUAAUCCCGUGCAAUAUAUCGUUUAUUAUCUAUCUAUUAUUAACUCUACUAUUGAAUCACAGUCACAAUUUUUCCUAAUACAAAAAUAAAAUCUUAUAUCUUGCAAAUCUUUAACAUUAUAAAAAGGGAAUCCCCCAGGUUACCUUGGUCGAGCUCCUCCCUCCCAUCAAACGACCCCACCUCCCCAUUAUCCAUGUUAAAAUUCCAUCCCAAAAAAAAUAAGAAGAAAAACCCAGUCCCACCCGCGGCUCCCUUCCUCGUUUCUGUUUCAGGGCACUAAAACCGCAAGUACCAAAAUCCGGUCCACAAUCCAUCGUAGACGCACGUGCACACGUGUCCGUGUACGGUUACCUGCCAACACAUAAAAAUUCGAUUCCACAACCGGAUACUCAAUUUUCAAAUCAUCAAAUCCAUAUUACAUGCAACAUGAAACCUAAUCUAAGUGGAGCUCGUCUGGCUCCGCCGUGACCAUGUCCGGCGGUCGGCUGCACCCCUCGAAGUGUUGCUCCGGUCGCCGACGAGGUAUACUAGGACAUGGGACAUGUACCGGCUAACAGGACUCGAGUCGUCGCCGUCUCCCAUGCCCUACUUUUCCUCGUCGGAGCCCGUCGCCUACACGUCUUCGGUGGACGUGGGAUCGAUGAUGGAUUCGUCGUGGUCGGAACCAGCUACGUGCACCACGACCGGUUGCGGCUCCCGGGGUGGCCGUGCACCAUACAUAGCGCCGGAGAGUGCGACCGCCUCGCCAACAUCCGCCGCGAUGGCUGUUGCCAUCUCUCGCGCCCGCUGUCUUGCACAACUGUCUUGCAUAGUGGGCACGCUGCGCCAUACUUGCGUCGGACGACGGCCAUGCGUUCACCUCCGCCUCAGCGCGCCAACGAAGCGGUUGCGCAUCCACCGUCGCGUUCGGACACCACAUGGACCGCACUGCCUCCAAUGAGUAUCAGUCCCCAUCCCUUGCAGCACCAACAAGGCGUCCUGCCGCACCAGGGGCGAUACUCGUUUGCACCAGCAAUGACUUCCCAACAAUACAAUCACGGGCCUUGGAGCACCGACCUGACCUAUAUCACUAGGGCACUCUCUUCCCCGUCUAGUAUCAAUCCAUGUCCAAAAUGGGACCGACCAUCGCCACUUGAAGAUGAGUCGAUUGCUACAACGAUGGUCGCUCUACUGUAAUCUAGAGCCUAGUGUCGAGGACAUUCACCGACAGUGGAUACCAGUGCAGUGGAGCCUUUAUCGCAGCGUCGACCGCCGUGAGCCUAAGAUACUAUGCUUGUCUUGCAGGAGACCCGCUACGGACGUGCCUUGCUGCAGGCCCAUCGCCGCCUAUUGCCGCAAAGCAAGCGCAACACUCGCUAGUGUUCGCUGCCCUAGACUAUUUCUCUCCUCUGCGCACGGUGGUGGGAGGACGAUGGCUGAAACGUCUGGUGGCGUGGGGAUUAUAGAUAGGAGCAUAUCAGAUGGCUUCUGUUGCGAUCGAUUUUCCCCCAAAUUAUAAGGUUGACACUUAGCACACCCCUUUCGUUAUUUUAUUUUGCUACUAACUUUUAUUUAUUCGUUUUUUUAGUCUAAUUUUUUUUACAUUUUUGAAUGUUUUUCUUUUCUUUUGAGUUUUUUAUUUGUAUACCAUCUUCUUUUUUCUUAUGUCUUCCUUUUUCAUACAUAAUUUAAAAAAAUAUGAUGAUCAUUUUUACAAUGUGUGAACAUUUUUACAAAUACAUGAUGAAUAUUUUCUUAGAUAUGUAAUGCAAAGUUUCAACAUUUUUGGUAUAUGAUGAACAUUUCUUAGAUACACGAAGAAUAUUGUUUUUAAUACGCAACAACCAUUUUACAAAUAUGUGAUGAAUUGUUUUAGAUACGUGUGCGAUGAAUAUUUAAAAACAUGUGACAAAAUGUGUAUAAAUGACAAUGAACAACACUAAAUAUGAUAUAAGUAUUUUAGACCAUCAUGAUGAUUUUUUCAUUAAUAUGUGAAUUAAAAAAUUCCUGAAAGAAAAUAAAAAGCCGGCUCAUAGCCAGACAUGGGCCUGGCCCAUGCGUGCUCCCACGUGGGCGUUUCCACACCUAUUCGUCGCACUGUGCAGGGAGUAGGGGGACUCAUGCAGCCUGUCUUGCCUGGAGACAAAAAUGUGAAACCAGCAACAAUUCCUGGAUGUUAUCUGUCACGUAGGGCCAUUCUGUAUAUGGAAAUUCGAAUUAAAGCAUCACGUUGAACAACAAAUGGCAAUUUCAUUUUAUGCGAUCGAUCGAGCAAAUGGAAAUCAAAUCAACCACCAGCUAGCUGCGUAGCUAGAUUAAUAAGCCGCAUGAGACCAAGAAUUAAACUUGACGUCGGUGCCGGGGAUUCAGCGCCUGCGAGCUAGCAAUCGCAUAUGCCAGUCGGGACAGCCAAGCGGCGUGGGUGUUCUCCUUGCUCAUCGGGUUCUUCUCCGCUCUCCCCUCGAACAAGAGGAUGUCGCAGUCGCUGGGCGCGUGGGAGGCAUCCAACAGUUUGUCCGACGCCGCUUCGAGGCGCCCAGCACGUAGGUCACCGAGCGCGCCCUUCAGAGUCUUGUUCAUGUCCCUGUAGUAGCGGAGGCAGGCCCUGAGGUUCUUGACAAGGUCGUCGAGGACGAGCACCGUCGACGUGACGUUAGCCACGGUGAGGUUGGUGGCGACGACGGCGAGCUGACGUGCGUCCUUGGCGGCCGCGGCCGCCGGGUCGGCCGAGAGCGCGCCCGCGCAGGAGUCGUAACCCACUUGCCCACCGACAGCGGCGCAUGUCCUUGUGAUGAUCGCGGACGGAGUGCCGACGGCGAGGCUGCCGUCUCCGGUAGCCAGGAGGAGGAUGAGGGCGAGGAGUAAAGCAACCUGACGAUGCAUCGCCAUAUGACUGUUGUCGUAUCGUACUCACUUCACCCGCUCACCGUGACGGUGUGACUAUCAUAUUGUGAAUGAUUUAUACACCGGAACGGAGGUAGUAGUAGCUAGCGCUUAGGUACCAGAUCGUAUGUUAAUGACUGCCAUUCGUUGAUCAUAAAUCGAGGGCAGUAGGUUUCUGUUAUAUUUUUUUUUCGAGGGGGUAGGUUUCUGUUAUAAGAUGGAUGGUUGGGACAUACAAACCACGGGGACGACCGGUUCAACCAAUCAAAAUUCAAAAUUCAAGCAAUCUUUCCUCCUAACAGGGAAGUUCGUAGGGUGGCAUCACAUUGCUUGUUUAUUUUCGCCUCACCUUCUACUACCACUCCUCCACUCUAUUUUUUUGUGGCAGGUGCCGAUUCAAUUAAAUCACAUAAAUAUCAAGUAAAAAAAGAAUUCAAAAAUCACACCAUAUACGUCUGAUCUUCUUCCUAAAAGACAGACAUACGAUUUUUCUCAAUAACCUUCCAAAAUAAAAUCAAAUAUUCCUGAAUAACAAAUUGCUAAUCCACAUAAUAUACCAUUUAUUAUCUAUCAUUAACUCUACUAUUGAAUCAUAAUCACACUUUUUCCUAAUACAAAAAUAAAAUCUUUUAUCUUGCCAAAUCUCUAACAUUAAAAGGGAAUCCCCAGAUUACAUUCGUCAAUCUCCCCCCUCCCACCCAACGAAGCCCACCUCCCUGCUAUCCAUGUUAAAAUCCCGUGCCAAAAAACAAGAAAAAAAAUAAGUCCCACCUGUGGCUCCGGUCCUCAUUCCCCCUUCAGAGCAUCAACAACCGCAAGUACCAAAAUCCGGUCCGAAAACACCCGUGGACGCGCUCACGCGCAUCCGCAUACGGUGACCGGACAACACACAAAAAUUCGAUUCCACAAUCGUAUACCCCAUUUUCAAAUCAUCAAAUCCAUAUUACAUGCAACGUGAAACCUAGUCUAAGCAAAGCUCGUCCGGCUCCACUGCUCCCAUGUCCGGCGGCCGACUGCUACUCACACAGGAGUUGCCCGCAAAAAAAACCUCCCGCGGGAGUUGUUGGAUUCCCAGAAAAGAAAAGGUGAUGUAGCACAACAGCAGCAAGUAUUUCCCUCAGUUAAGAACCAAGAUUUAUCGAACCAGUAGGAGUCACCAUGCUAACAAUGUUGGGGAACGUAGCAUGCAAUUUCAAAAAAUUUCCUACGAUCACGCAAGAUCUAUCUAGGAGAUGCAUAGCAACGAGAGGGGGAGAGUGUGUCCACGUACCCUCGUAGACCGAAAGCGGAAGCGUUAGGUUAACACGGUUGAUGUAUUCGAACAUCUUCAUGAUCCAACCGAUCUUAGUACCGAACGUACGGCACCUCCGUGUUCAGCACACGUUCAGCUCGAUGACGUCCCUCGAACUCUUGAUCCAACAGAGGGUCGAGGGAGAGUUCAGUCAGCACGACGGUGUGCUGACGGUGAUGGUGAUGCGAUCCGCGCAGGGCUUCGCCUAAGCACUACGACGCUAUGACCGGAGGCGUAAAAUGUGGAGGGGGGCACCGGACACGGCUAAGAGAAUAACUGAUGUGCCUUUGGGGUGCCCCCGCCCCCGUAUAUAAAGGAGGGGAGGAGGAGGCCGGCGGCCAAGAGGGGCGUGCCAUGGUGGGAGUCCUACUUGGACUCCCAGUCCAAGUAGGAUCCCCCCUUUCCUUUCACCACCGGAGGGAAAAGGAAGGAGAGGGAGAAGGGAAGGGAAAGGGGGGCCGCGCUCCCUCCUCCUUGUCCUAUUUAGACUCCCUAGGAGGGGGGCGCGCGCCACCCCCCCCGCGGGCUUCCCUCUCUCUCCCUUAGUCCCAUGUAGGCCCAACACUUCCCCUGGGGGGUUUCGGUAACCCCUCGGUACUCCGGUAAAAUACCCGAAUCACUCGGAACCAUUCUGAUGUCCGAAUAUAACCUUCCAAUAUAUGAAUCUUUACCUCUCGACCAUUUAGAGACUCCUCGUCAUGUCCGUGAUCUCAUUCGGGACUCCGAACAAACUUCGGUCACCAAAACACAUAACUCAUAAUACAAAUCGUCAUUGAACGUUAAGCGUGUGGACCCUACGGGUUCGAGAACUAUGUAGACAUGACCGAGACACAUCUCCGGUCAAUAAGCAAUAGCGGAAACUGGAUGCUCAUAUUGGCUCCUACAUAUUCUGCGAAGAUCUUUAUCGGUCAAACCGCAUAACAACAUACGUCAUUCCCUUUGUCAUCGGUAUGUUCCUUGCUUGAGAUUCGAUCGUCGGUAUCAUCAUACCUAGUUCAAUCUCGUUACCGGAAAGUCUCUUUACUCGUUCCGUAAUGCAUCAUCCCGCAACUAACUCAUUAGUCACAUUGCUUGCAAGGCUUAUAGUGAUGUGCAUUAUCGAGAGGGCCCAGAGAUACCUCUCCGAUACACGGAGUGACAAAUCCUAAUCUUGAUCUAUGCCAACCCAACAAACACCUUCGGAGACACCUGUAGAGCAUCUUUAUAAUCACCCAGUUACGUUGUGACAUUUGAUAGCACACAAGGUGUUCCUCUGGUAUUCGGGAGUUGCAUAAUCUCAUAGUCAGAGGAAUAUGUAUAAGUCAUGAAGAAAGCAAUAGCAAUAAAACUAAACGAUCAUAAUGCUAAGCUAACGUAUGUGUCUUGUCCAUCACAUCAUUCUCUAAUGAUGUGAUCCCGUUCAUCAAAUGACAACACAUGUCUAUGGUCAGGAAACAUAACCAUCUUUGAUCAACGAGCUAGUCAAGUAGAGGCAUACUAGGGACACUCUGUUUUGUCUAUGUAUUCACACAUGUACUAAGUUUCCAGUUAAUACAAUUCUAGCAUGAAUAAUAAACAUUUAUCAUGAUGUAAGGAAAUAUAAAUAACAACUUUAUUAUUGCCUCUAGGGCAUAUUUCCUUCAGUCUCCCACUUGCACUAGAGUCAAUAAUCUAGAUUACAUAGUAAUGAUUCUAACACCCAUGUAGUCUUGGUGCUGAUCAUGUUUUGCUCGUGGAAGAGGCUUAGUCAAUGGGUCUGCAACAUUCAGAUCUGUUUGUAUUUUGCAAAUCUCGGUGUCUCCCUCCUUGACUUGAUCAUGGAUGGAAUUGAAGCGUCUCUUGAUGUGUUUGGUUCUCUUGUGAAAUCUGGAUUCCUUCGCCAAGGUAAUUGCUCCAGUAUUGUCACAAAAGAUUUUCAUUGGACCCGAUGCACCAGGUAUUACACCUAGAUCGGAUAUGAAAUCCUUCAUCCAGACUCCUUCAUUUGCUGCUUCCGAAGCAGCUAUGUACUCCGCUUCACACGUAGAUCCCACCACGACGCUCUGCUUGGAACUGCACCAAGUUACAGCUCCACCAUUCGUAUCCGGUUUGCGACUUAGAGUCAUUCGGAUCAGUGUCAAACCUUGCAUCAACGUAACCAUUUACGACAAGCUCUUUGUCACCUCCAUAAACGAGAAACAUAUCUUAGUCCUUUUCAGGUAUUUCAGGAUGUUCUUGACCGCUGUCCAGUGAUCCACUGCUGGAUUACUUUGAUACCUCCCUGCUAAACUUAUAGCAAGACACACAUCAGGCCUGGUACACAUCAUUGCAUACAUGAUAGAACCUAUGGCUGAGGCAUAGGGAAUGACUUUCAUUUUCUCUCUAUCUUCUGCAGUGGUCGGGCAUUGAGUCUGACUCAAUUUCACACCUUGUAACACAGGCAAGAACCCUUUCUUUGACUGAUCCAUUUUCAACUUCUUCAAAACUUUAUCAAGGUAUGUGCUUUGUGAAAGUCCAAUUAAGCGUCUUGAUCUAUCUCUAUAGAUCUUGAUGCCCAAUAUAUAAGCAGCUUCACCGAGGUCUUUCAUUGAAAAAUUCUUAGUCAAGUAUCCUUUUAUGCUAUCCAGAAAUUCUGUAUUAUCUCCAAUCAACAAUAUGUCAUCCACAUAUAAUAUUAGAAAUGCUAUAGAGCUCCCACUCACUUUCUUGUAAAUACAGACUUCUCCAAAAGUUUGUAUAAAACCAUAUGCUUUGAUCACACUAUCAAAGUGUAUAUUCCAACUCCGAGAUGCUUGCACCAGUACAUAAAUGGAUCACUGGAGCUUGCACACUUUUGUAGCACCUUUUGGAUCGACAAAACCUUCUGGUCGCAUCAUAUACAACUCUUCUUUAAGAAAAAUCCAUUAAGGAAUGCAGUUUUGACAUCCAUUUGCCAAAUUUCAUAAUCAUAAAAUGCGUCAAUUGCUAACAUGAUUCGGACAGACUUAAGCAUCGCUACGGGUGAGAAGGUCUCAUCGUAGUCAACUCCUUGAACUUGUCGAAAACCUUUCGCAACAAGUCGAGCUUUGUAAACAGUAACAUUACCGCCAGCGUCAGUCUUCUUCUUGAAGAUCCAUUUAUUCUCUAUGGCUUGCCGAUCAUCGGGCAAGUCAACCAAAGUCCACACUUUGUUCUCAUACAUGGAUCCCAUCUCAGAUUUCCUGGCCUCAAGCCGGGUUUAUUACUCCACACAUCGACCGCUAUCCAGCAUGCAUCUAGAGUAUUAAGUUCAUAAGAACAGAGUAACGCAUUAAGCAAGAUUACAUGAUGUAGAGGGAUAAACUCAAGCAAUAUGAUAUAAACCCCAUCUUUUCUCCUCGAUGGCAACAAUACAAUACGUGCCUUGCUGCCCCUGCUGUCACUGGGAAAGGACACCGCAAGAUUGAACCCAAAGCUAAGCACUUCUCCCAUUGCAAGAAAGAUCAAUCUAGUAGGCCAAACCAAACUGAUAAUUCGAAGAGACUUGCAAAGAUAUCAAAUCAUGCAUAUAAGAAUUCAGAGAAGAAUCAAAUAUUGUUCAUAGAUAAUCUUGAUCAUAAACCCACAAUUCAUCGGAUCUCGACAAACACACCGCAAAAAGUAUUACAUCGAAUAGAUCUCCUAGAAGAUCGAGGAGAACUUUGUAUUGAGAUCCAAAGAGAGAGAAGAAGCCAUCUAGCUAAUAACUAUGGGCCCGAAGGUCUGUGGUAAACUACUCACACAUCAUCGGAGAGGCUAUGGUGUUGAUACAGAAGCCCUCCGUGAUCGAUUCCCCCUCCGGCAGAGCGCCGGAAAAGGCCCCAAGAUGGGAUCUCACGGGUACAGAAGGUUGCGGUGGUGGAAAUAGGGUUUCGUGGUGCUCCUGGAUGUUUUCAGGGUAUAUGAGUAUAUAUAGGUGAAAGAAGUAGGUCGGUGGAGCUACGAGGGGCCCAUGAGGGUGGGGGGCGCGCCUACCCCCCUGGGCGCGCCCUCCUGCCUCAUGGCCGCCUCGUUGUUUCCUUGACGUCCACUCCAAGUCUCCUGGAUUGCGUUUGUUCCAAAAACGACCCUCGCGAAGGUUUCAUUCCGUUUGGAUUCCGUUUGAUAUUCCUUUUCUGCGAAACACUGAAAUAGGCAAAAAAACAGCAAUUUGCGCUGGGCCUUUGGUUAGUAGGUUAGUCCUAAAAAUAAUAUAAAAGUGCAUACUAAAGCCCAUUAAACAUCCAAAAUAGAUAAUAUAAUAGCAUGGAACAAUAAAAAAUUAUAGAUACGUUGGAGACGUAUCACGGACCGUACUCUGGUUGACCUACGAGGUUGGGUAGUAACUUGAUCUGAAGUUUCAUGAUCAUCAUCAUUAGCUUCCUCACUAAUUGGUGUAGGAAUCACUAGAACUGAUUUCUAUGAUGAACUACUUUCCAAUUCGGGAGAAGGUACAAUUACCUCAUCAAGUUCUACUUUCCUCCCACUCACUUCUUUCGAGAGAAACUCCUUCUCUAGAAAGGAUCCAUUCUUAGCAACGAAUAUCUUGCCUUCGGAUCUGUGAUAGAAAGUGUACCCAACCGUUCCCUUUGGGUAUCCUACAAAGACGCAUUUCUCCGAUUUGGGUUCGAGCUUAUCAGGUUGAAGCUUUUUCACAUAAGCAUCGCUGCCCCAAACUUUAAGAAACGACAGCUUAUAUGGUGUCGUCUCAACGGAUUUAGAUGGUGCCCUAUUUAACGUGAAUGCAGCUGUCUCUAAAGCAUAACCCCAAAACGAUAGCGGUAAAUCAGUAAGAGACAUCAUAGAUCGCACCAUAUCUAAUAAACUACGAUUACGACGUUCGGACACACCAUUACGCUGUGGUGUUCCAGGUGGCGUGUUGCGAAACUAUUCCACAUUGUUUCAAAUGAAGACCAAACUCAUAACUCAAAUAUUCACCUCCACGAUCAUAUCGUAGAAACUUUAUUCUCUUGUUACGAUGAUUUUCCACUUCACCCUGAAAUUCUUUGAACUUUUGAAAUAUUUCAAACUUAUGUUUCAUUAAGUAGAUAUACCAUAUCUGCUCAAAUCAUCUGUGAAGGUCAGAAAAUAACGAUACCCGACGCGAGCCUCAACACUCAUCGGACCGCAUACAUCAGUAUGUAUUAUUUCUAAUAAGUCAGUUGCUCGGUCCAUUGUUCCGGAGAACGGAGUCUUAGUCAUCUUGCCCAUGAGGCAUGGUUCACAAGCAUCAAGUGAUUCCAAAAGUACAUCAGCAUGGAGUUUCUUCAUGCGCUUUACACCAAUAUGACCUAAACGGCAGUGCCACAAAUAAGUUGCACUAUCAUUAUUAACUUUGCAUCUUUUGGCUUCAAUAUUAUGAAUAUGUGUAUCACUACAAUCGAGAUUCAAUAAAAAUAGACCACUCAUCAAGGGUGCAUGACCAUAAAAGAUACUAGAUGAUACCCCGCGCGUUGCUGCGAAAAUAGUAGUAUGAAAAAGGGAUAGAUUAGAGAAAUGAAAUAUAAAUAAUAUGAAUAUACUUGUUAACCAUGUGAUCUCUCAACUAAAGUAAAUAAUUUGAUGAGAUUAAACAAUGCACAACUAACUAGAAAAAUAGAAAUGUUUUCCCUUUUCCUUCUAAAAAUAUAAAUCUUAAAUAAACACAAAACACAAAUAAAAUAAUGCAAGUGCUUAGUAAUGAGCCUUCAUUGUUCUAAUCUUCACACCGACAAAAGAACAAUUCACAAAGAUGGAGCACACAUAAAUGGUGGUUCACAUUAUUAACCAACUAACCUGCACACUCGCGCAUAUAUUUCACGCAUUAUUGAAGAGCAAUGAACAAUAAUUCUCUGAACAUAAUUGCCACCAUCUUACAAUCGUCAGGGAAAUCCUCUUGAUGCAGGGUUAAGCAACUAACAUCAUAAAUCCAUCCCCUUAUCAGAAAGGCAUCACCACCUGAGACUCACGUCAUAGAACAAAUUACUCAAACCAGCAAGGAAUAAGAAAAUAACAAAAACACAACUAAAGAAAGAAACUUAUUAUCACGUGAGUAUAAGGACAUAGUAAGAUAUCAUCAUUUGUGUAUAUGCAUUUGAUCGAGAGAUGGUACCUCUUGGAAUAUAGCAAGACGACUAAAAUGUAUCUCGUCCUGCUGUAACCACAUCAGAAUUUUCCAAGUUUCUGACAUAUUGGAAGGUCCUAACUUAUUAUCCCAUCCAAUUACGCAAAUAUAGAUUUGUAUGCUUGGUAAAUAAGAAGACCGGAGAAGAAAAUAUAUCACUAAAAAUUCUAGAUGUAUAAAAACAGAGUAGCUCGGUGUUCAGAAACCUAUGUUAGAAUCGCAUCUUCCAACAUAUCAUUGUAGGCUCAUGAAUCAUAUGGUAUGGUCCCAUAAUGGCGGCAUAAAUUAUGCCCUUGGGGGUAUAAUGUUUUCAAUAAUAAAAUGUCAUUUCUGGGCAACACAUUUUUCCUAAUUUUAGUUACAUGAUGUCAUGUCAAGAUGGAAUGCACACUACACUGAUUCAGUUCAGCAACUUAUGCUUGAAGUUGUCAUACCAGAACCACUGCACAUGGGAGAAACAUACCCCAAUGGACUAAAUAGCCAAAGGAAGGAUACUGAAAUAACUAAAUUGCAUAGACUUAGAUCUGACCUCUCAGGCUAGGAAGCAAUGGCACGCAUCUAUGGCUGACCUAACUGCCACCCUCUGGCAGAUUCAACCAUCAUGCAGUAUCAGUCAUGGCCAAAAUUGAAACAGUGUCCGACUAUAAUUGUUGAACAACACAAAAGGAGAUGUGUAGACAUGGAAAAUAAGAUGUAUCUCCGUAACGUGGCUGGCAGGUUAGAAUUGUCCAUCGUUGAUAAGAGCAUUAACAACAAAAAUAACCUGCAUGUUCGAUUAUGGAAGUCAUACUAUCAACAGAUAUUUUUGCAUUUGUGCCAAGUAAUUUCUUCAGAUGUCUUCUUUAGCAAUGCAUGACAAUACAAUCUAUGCAAAAUUAGUACAUCAGAAAAUAAGAUGUAUUAGUGCAUGAUAAUACAAUCCUUCUAAGAAAAUGGAGGCACAGUACUUACCUUCAGUGGAUGGUAGCAUUGUCUUCCUCAAAGGGAUUUUGACGCAACCUGCUAGAGUAAAUCAAAACAGUAAGAGGUAAAUUUGCUACUUUAAGUUAUUUUUGUGAUCUAGGGUUUACCUUGUAAUACUCUUUGACUGGCAGUAUCUCUUCUCGUCGCAGCAGAUCAUGGAGCAGUUGUCGAAAACCACACGACGCUUUCCUUGUCCUGGCUGAUGCGUGUGGUGGUCAAUUAAGUUGAAGGUGAUGGUAGGACGGGGGAGCGAAGGCCACGAAAACCUAUAGCCGAGGAGAAGAAGAGGAUGGAUCGGGUGAUAUUCUGUAGCCGGGGAGAAGAAGAGGACGCAUCUAUGGUAGGACGGGGAGGAUAUUAAUUGUCAGAAAAAAUGGUGGGUAAGGCAGACAUGGGAGAGGAGGAGGCAAAUUAAGGUGCCGAUGCAUUCUCUCCAUUAAUGAAGAAUUGGACAAGGUGAAGAGGAAGAGGGGCAGUUGUGGAGAAGAAAGGACGCAGAGGAGGCGCUGCAAAAGCAAGCGAUGCGAUGCGGUACGGGCUUCCAACAUUGAAAGGCCGAACAACCCAUACAGGCUUCCAAACAUUGAAAGGCCGAGAAGCCGCUUCGUACAGCCCAACCGCUAGUACAGAGGUAGGGGAGACAUGCAAAAAAAAGUCCGGCAUCGAGGGAUAACGUGCGGGAUGGCACCAGGAAAAGAGGAUGAUGUGGUCUUGCGAGAGAGCAGAAAUAUAACAUAGUAAAUGACAUGGCACAUUGCUGAUGUAGACAGUGUGCAUGAUGAGAGAAUAGAAAUUAGUGGGGAGCAACUUCUUAAGAAUGGUAGAUUACUCAUAUAAAUAGAACAACCAUUAUUCUUUGAUUUAAAUGAAUAACCGUCUCGCAUCAAACAAGAUCGAGAUAUAAUGUUCAUGCUCAACGCUGGCACCAAAUAACAAUUAUUCAAGUCUAAAACUAAUCCCGACAGUACAUGCAGAGGUAGCGUGCCGACGGCGAUCACAUCGACUUUGGAACCAUUUCCCACGCGCAUCGUCACCUUGUCCUUAGCCAAUAUUUGUUUAAUCCGUAGCCCCUGUUUCGAGUUGCAAAUAUGAGCAACAGAACCAGUAUCAAAUACCGAGGUGCUACUGAUACGUCUCCAACGUGUCUAUAAUUUUUGAUUGUUCCAUGCUGUUAUACUAUCAACCUUGGAUGUUUUAUAAUCAUUUUAUAUCAUUUUUUGGUACCAACCUAUUGACAUAGUGCCAAGUGCCAGUUGCUGUUUUCUGCAUGUUUUUUACAUCGCAGGAAAUCAAUAUCAGUCGGAGUCCAAAUGCCAUGAAACUUUACGGAGAUUUUUUAUGGACCACGUAAUGGGCCCUGGCUGCGCCUGGGGGGUGCUCCGAGGAGAGCACAACCCACCAGGGCGCGCCCUGGUGGGUUGUGCCCACCUCGGGGUGCCCCCAGACCGCCUCUUUGCUCUAUAAAUACCCCAAUAUUCCAGAAACCCUAGGGGAGUUGACGAAAUAUUGAUCCAGCCGCCGCAGAGUCCAGAACCACCAGAUCCAAUCUAGACACCAUCUCGGAUGGGGUUCACCACCUCCAUUGGUGCCUCUCCGAUGAUGCAUGAGUAGUUCUUUGUAGACCUUCGGGCCCGUAGUUAUUAGCUAGAUGGCUUCCUCUCUCUCGCUGAAUUCUCAAUACAAUGGUCUCUUGGAGAUCCAUAUGAUCUAACUCUUUUUGUGGUGUGUUUGUUGGGAUCUGAUGAACUUUGAGUUUAUGAUCAGUUAUAUCUUUUUAUAUCCAUGAAAGUAUUUGAGUUUCUUUGAUCUCUUUUAUGCAUGAUUGCUUAUAGCCUCGUAUUUCUUCUCCGAUAUUUGGGUUCUGUUUGGCCAACUUGAUCUAUUUAUCUUGCAAUGGGAAGAGGUGCUUCGUAGUGGGUUCGAUCUUACGGUGCUUGAUCCCAGUGACAAAAGGGGAACUGACACGUAUGUAUCGUUGCUACUAAGGAUAAAACAAUGGGGUCUAUCUCUACAUAGAUAGAUCUUGUCUACAUCAUGUCAUCGUUCUUAUUGCAUUACUCCGUUUUUCCAUGAACUUAAUACAGUAGAUGCAUGCUGGAUAGCGGUCGAUGUGUGGAGUAAUAGUAGUAGAUGCAGGCAGGAGUCGGUCUACUAAUCUUGGACUUGAUGCCUAUAUAAUGAUCAUUGCUUGGAUAUCGUCAUGAUUAUUUGAAGUUCUAUCAAUUGCCCAACAGUAAUUUGUUCACCCACCGUUUGCUAUUUUUUCUCGAGAGAAGCCACUAGUGAAACCUACGGCCCCCGGGUCUCUUUCUCACAUAUUUGCCUUUGCGAUCUACUUUUCCUUUGCAUUUAUUUUCAGAUCUAUUAAACUAAAAAUACAAAAAUACCUUGCUGCAAUUUAUUCUUAUUUAUUUUAUUUGGCGUUCUAUCUAUCAAUCUACUACAAUUUUCUCACAUCCGUUUGCCCAUCUUGGGGCGCCGCUACCCGAAAGGGAUUGACAACCCCUUUUACACGUCGUGUUGCGAGGAUUUGUUAUCUGUGUGCGGGUGCUGUUUACGUUGUGUUGCUUGGUUCUCCUACUGGUUCGAUAACCUUGGUUUCUUCACUGAGGGAAAUACCUACCGCCAUUGUGCUGCAUCAUCCUUUCCUCUUUGGGGAAAUACCACGUAGCUUCAAGCCGCAUCAAAAGGAAUUUCUGGCGCCGUUGCCCGAGAGGAUCACGCCAAGAUAGUCUCCUGUCAACUCGCCAAUUUCUGGCGCCGUUGCCGGGGAGGAUCUUGAACAUAUACCAGGUUCCUAAUCACAAAUCUCAUCUCCUCGCAAUUUACAUUAUUUGCCAUUUGCCUCUUAUUUUCCUCUCCCCCACUUCACAAAAAUUUGCCAUUUUAUUCGCCUCUCUUUUUCCGUUCGCCGUUUUCUCGUCAGAUCUAUUCUUUGCUUGCAAUCAUGAGUGAUUUCAGUAUGGCACCAACAGAUGAUGGCCUAACUCCUAAGAUAGGACAUACAGGCAAUCUGGAUGCUAAAACUUUUAUCUUGGGGCAAGGGAACAUUAUAGGAAAAGAACGUAUCCAAGAGUUUUUCAAUUGUGUUGGAAAUCUGAGUCUGGAUGAUGCUCCUAUACUUAAAACUACUAGAUCUUAUGCGGAUGCUAUUUCAGCACUAGUCUUGAAACUUGAAAGUAAAUUUAUUCGUACUCACCCUACUUUGCAAAGAUUGUUUUUUGAGCUUCCCGAAAUAAAGAAUCCUAGGGCUAAAAAGUUGGCCACUCUCGUUCUUAUGAAUGAGUUUGACUACAUAACACGGGAAGCUAGGGAAAUCUUUGAUUUUUAUGGUACGAAUUGUGAAAACCCCGUGAUAGACGAAAUUCUUUACAAUAGUGACUAUGCACUAAGGCAUUUGCUUGGGGAUAAUAAAAUCUUUGAUGAUAAUCUUAAAAAGGAAGUCCCCGUUCUAGAUAUAAUCCAACAAGUUUCAAUAAUGUUAAUCAACAUUACUCUUGGAUUGUUGUGGGAAAUCAAAGGGGUUAUGAUGAAAACCAACUUAGGAAUGCUGAAGUUUCCAUGGAUAAUAUGUUUUAUGUUGUGUUUACAAAACUCCAUGAUGAAAACACUUCAAAGAAAAUUAAGAAGAGGGAUGACAAAACUUAGAUCCUUGCUUUAUGCCUAGCUAAGGGCGUAAAACUAUAACGCUUGUUUGGAGGUAACCCAAUGAAUAAAAUUUAUUUGAUUUUUGCUUUCUGUUCUUGGGUGUUUGCACAAUUAUGCUACUUCUAUGAUUGUGUUUUUUGUGUUUUAAUUAGUGUUUGUGCCAAGUAAAGCCUUUAGGAUCUUCUUGGGUGAUAGUUGUUUGAUCUUGCUGAAAAACAGAAACUUAUGCACUCAUAAAAUAAUUUUCAUAAAUCACAGAAAAGUGCUUUUGCACUGAUUCUUUUUGCAGAAGAUUAAUAUACAAAUUACCCUGGUCUUCCUAAUUUUUUAGAAUUUUUGGAGUUACAGAAGUAUUCAAAAUAGUCAUAUUUCUAUAGACUGUUCUGUUUUGACAGAUUCUGUUUUCUUUGCGUUGUGUGCUUGUUUUGAUGGCUCUAUGGUUUUCUUUGAUGAGUUUUUGCCAUAGAAAAGUUGGAAUACAGUAGAUAUAAUGCAAAAAAUAAAAUAUGAAUUGGUUUGAUACAAUACUUAUAGUAGUGGUUUGCUUUCUUAUACUAACGGAUCUCAUGAAGGUUUUGUUGAGUUUUGUGUGAUUGAAGUUUUCAAGUUUUGGGUUAUCUUAUGAUGGAUGAAGGAAGGAUCGAAGAGCCUAAGCUUGGGGACGCCCCGGCAUCCCAAGCUAUUAUCCAAAAAUGAGCAACCAACUAAGCUUGGGGAUGCCCCGAGUGGCAUCCCCUCUUUCUUCUAACGACCAUCGGUAUUUUACUCGAAGCUAUAUUUUUAUUCGUCACAUACUAUGUGUUUUGCUUGGAGCGUCUUGUAUGAUAUGCGUCUUUGCUUGUUUUAUUUUGUGUUUUAAGUCUUGAUCCCUUGCUGGACACACCUAUUUGAGAGAUCCAAAAUUAUGUCAUGACUUGUUAGAAUUGCUCUCUAUGCUUCACUUAAAUUUUUACGAGCUGUGGACUUGCUCUAGUGCUGCACAUAUAUAUUUUUGAGCAUGGUGUGCUUUAGUAUUUUUGAAGAAAUGCUCUCUUGCUUCACUUAGAUUUAUUUGAGAGUUAGUAAAAUUUUCAAGAAAUUCUCUCUUGCUUCACUUAAAUUAUUUUGAGAGAAAGAAAAAAAUUAUGCUCAUGAUCUUCACUUAUAUUUGUUUGAGCUUAAGCAAAGCAACACAUGAAAAUUAGUCCCAAAGUGAUAGAUAUCCAAGAAGGAUAUAAUAAAAACUUUCAUGAAGAUCAUUGGACAAAAUAAACUUGAUUCUUAGUAAUAGUUUUGAGAUAUGAUGAUGUGAUAUGUGAGUUGUGUUGAUGAGUAAUUAUGCUUUAGUAAGAAUAUUGGUGUUAAGGUUUGUGAUUCCCUUUGCAAGCACGAAAGUCAAUAGUCGUGCAAUGAAAUUAUAUCCUACUUGUGGUGCAUUACUCGGUGUUAAUUAUGCUUAAUGCUUGCUUAUGAGAUUAUUCGUUUCUUGGUUGGCCGCUUCUCAAUCUUUUGCUAGCCUUCAUUUUGCACUAAGUAUGAUCUCUACUUGUGCAUCCAAAAUCCUUUAAACCAGUUUUGCCACAUGAGUCCAGCAUAUCUACCUAUAUGUGGUAUUGUUUUGCCGUUCUAAGAAAAUUUGCAUGUGCCAUCUCUAAUUUUCAAAAUAAACUUCUCUUUUGUGUGUUUGUUUCGCUCGCGGUGCGGUGAGGGGUGGCUAAUAUGUUCCAUGCUGGAUGUGUUAUUCUCAUGAUGAGUGUUUAUUGACUUGUCAUUGCACGAGAGUAAGGCAAAGGUUUUAGGGAUGCCCAGUCCCGAAAUGAAAAAAAUGAAUUUACUUUAUGUUGUCAAAUAAUAAAUUCCUUGGAAAGUGUUGGUAUGGAGGGCAACCGUGGAUACGGCUAGCCAUGGAAAGUGAAAGUAUGGUGGAAAAAGGAAUAAACUUUAUUUUCUGUUUGGGAACCGCCUAUGAUAUAUCUAGCAUGGAAAGUGUUGGGAGCUCUAAGUCGUUUUCGUUGGUGGGAUGGAUGCACCUCCCAAAAUGUUUUUAUCUCUAAGUUUUUCGCUUUGAGCUCUGGCACCUCUACAAAUCCCUACUUCCCUGUGCGAAGGGCCUUUAUUUUACUUUAUGCAAUUUUUUAUUUUGAAUUUGAGUCUCCAUCUUCUCUUAUAAAAGCACUAACUAGGAGGCAAUAUGAUCGUACUUGAGUAUUGGGUGUAGCUAAUAUGCGAGUGUGUUUUAUGAAUGGAUCAAUGGUUGAGCAUGAUGGGCUAGGGAUAACUUAUUUUAGCGUUGAUAUUUUGAAAGACAUGGUUGCUUGUUGAUAUGCUUGAGUAUUUAAAUUAUCAUGUCAAAACUAGACUAUUGCUUUGAAUCACAUAAAAGUCCAAAUGUCCAUGCUAUAAAGAAAAGAAUAUGAUAUGACAUGUUAGGCAGCAUUCCACAUCAAAAUUCUGUUUUUAUCAGCUACCUACUCGAGGACGAGUAGGAGUUAAGCUUGGGGAUGCUGAUACGUCUCCAACGUAUCUAUAAUUUUUGAUUGUUCCAUGCUGUUAUACUAUCAGUCUUGGAUGUUUUACAAUAAUUUUAUAGUCAUUUUUUGGUACUAACCUAUUGACAUAGUACCAAGUGCCAGUUGCUGUUUUCUGCAUGUUUUUUACAUCGCAGGAAAUCAAUAUCACACGGAGUCCAAAUGCCACAAAACUUUACAGAGAUUUUUUAUGGACCAGAAGACACGUAAUGGGCCCUGGCUGUGCCUAGGGGGUGCUCCGAGGAGAGCACAACCCACCAGGGCGCGCCAGGAGGCCCAGGCACGCCCUGGUGGGUUGUGCCCACCUCGGGUGCCCCCCGGACCACCUCUUUGCUCUAUAAAUACCCCAAUAUUCCAGAAACCCUAGGGGAGUCAACGAAAUAUUGAUCCAGCCGCCGCAGAGUCCAGAACCACCAGAUCCAAUCUAGACACCAUCUCAGAUGGGGUUCACCACCUCCAUUGGUGCCUUUCCGAUGAUGCGUGAGUAGUUCUUUGUAAACCUUCGGGUCCAUAGUUAGUAGCUAGAUGGCUUCCUCUCUCUUGCUGAAUUCUCAAUACAAUGGUCUCUUGGGGAUCCAUAUGAUGUAACUCUUUUUGCGGUGUGUUUGUUGGGAUUUGAUGAACUUUGAGUUUAUGAUCAGUUAUAUCUUUUUAUAUCCAUGAAAGUAUUUGAGUUUCUUUGAUCUCUUUUAUGCAUGAUUGCUUAUAGCCUCGUAUUUCUUCUCCGAUAUUUGGGUUUUGUUUGGCCAACUUGAUCUAUUUAUCUUGCAAUGGGAAGAGGUGCUUUGUAGUGGGUUCGAUCUUACGGUGCUUGAUCCCAGCGACAGAAGGGGAACCGACGCGUAUGUAUCGUUGCUACUAAGGAUAAAACGAUGGGGUCUAUAUCUAUAUAGAUAAAUCUUGUCUACACCAUGUCAUCGUUCUUAUUGCAUUACUCCGUUUUUCCAUGAACUUAAUACACUAUAUGCAUGCUGGAUAGUGGUCGAUGUGUGGAGUAAUAGUAGUAGAUGCAGGCAGGAGUCGGUCUACUAAUCUUGGACGUGAUGCCUAUAUAUCAUUGCCUGGAUAUCAUCAUGAUUAUUUGAAGUUCUAUCAAUUUCCCAACAGUAACUUGUUCACCCACUGCUUGCUAUUUUUCUCGAGAGAAGCCACUAGUGAAACCUACGGCCCCCGGGUCUCUUUCUCAUAUAUUUGCCUUUGCAAUCUACUUUUCCUUUGCAUUUAUUUUCAGAUCUAUAAAACUAAAAAUACAAAAAUACCUUGCUGCAAUUUAUUCUUAUUUAUUUUAUUUGGCGUUCGAUCUAUCAAUCUACUACAAUUUCCUCACGUCCGUUUGCCCAUCUUGGGGCGCCGCUACCCGAAAGGGAUUGACAACCCCUUUUACAUGUUGGGUUUCGAGGAUUUGUUAUCUUUGUGCAGGGGCUGUUUAUGUUGUGUUGCUUGGUUCUCCUACUGGUUCGAUAACCUUGGUUACCUACCGCCGCUGUGCUGCAUCAUCCCUUCCUCUUUGGGGAAAUACCGACGUAGCUUCAAGCCGCAUCAGCUACUACGAGCAUUAGUAAGGUACACAUCAAUAACAUUUAUAUCAAAUAUACCUUUCACUUUGCCAUCCUUCUUAUCCGCCAAAUACUUGGGGCAGUUCCGCUUCCAGUGACGAGUCCCUUUGCAGUAGAAGCACUCAGUUUCAGGCUUAGGUCCAGACUUGGGCUUCUUCUCGGGAGUAGCAACUUUCUUGCUAUUUCUUGAAGUUCCCCUUCUUCCCUUUACCCUUUUUCUUUAAACUAGUGGUCUUGUUAACAAUCAACACUUGAUGCUCCUUCUUGAUUUCUACCUCCGCAGCCUUUAGCAUCGCGAAGAGCUCGGGAAUUGUCUUUUCCAUCCCUUGCAUAUUACAAUUCAUCAUGAAGCCUUUAUAGCUUGGUGGCAGUGAUUCAAGAACUCUGUCAAUGACACUAUCAUCAGGAAGAUUAACUCCCAACUGAGUCAAGUGGUUAUGGUACCCAGACAUUCUGAGUAUGUGUUCACUGACAUAACUGUUCUCCUCCAUUUUGCAGCUAUAGAACUUGUUGGAGACUUCAUAUCUCUCAACUCGGGAAUUUGCUUGAAAUAUUAACUUCAACUCCUGGAACAUCUCAUAUGCUCCAUGACGUUCAAAACGUCUUUGAAGUCCCAAUUCUAAGCUGUAAAGCAUAGUCAUCAGCUUUGCUCUGCCAGACAUUCAUAACGUCCGGAGUUGCUCCUACAGCGGGUCUUGCACCUAGCGGUGCUUCCAGGACGUAAUUCUUAUGUGCAGCAAUGAGGAUAAUCCUCAAGAUACGGACACAGUCCGUGUAGUUGCUACCAUCAUCUUUCAACUUAGCUUUCUCUAGGAACGCAUUAAAAUUCAACGGAAUGGUAGCACGGCCAUUGAUCUACAACAACAUAGAUAUGCAAAAACUAUCAGGACUAAGUUCAUGAUAAAUUAAAGUUCAAUUAAUCAUAUUACUUAAGAACUCCCACUUAGAUAUACACCCCUCUAGUCAUCUAAAUGAUCAUGUGAUCCAUAUCAACUAAACCAUGUCCGAUCAUCAUGUGAGAUGGAGUAGUUUUCAAUGGUGAACAUCUCUAUGUUGAUCAUAUCUACUAUAUGAUUGACGUUCGACCUUUCGGUCUCAGUGUUCCGAGGCCAUAUCUUCAUAUGCUAGGCUCGUCAAGUUUAACCCGAGUAUUCUGCACGUGCAAAACUAGCUUGCACCCGUUGUAUGUGAACGUAGAGCUUAUCACACCCGAUCAUCACGUGGUGUCUCGGCACGACGAACUGUAGCAACGGUGCAUACUGAGGGAGAACAAUUAUACCUUGAAAUUUAGUGAGGGAUCAUCUUAUAAUGCUACCGCCAUACUAAGCAAAAUAAGAUGCAUAAAAGAUAAACAUCACAUGCAAUCAAAAUAUGUGACAUGAUAUGGCCAUCAUCAUCUUGUGCCUUUGAUCUCCAUCUCCAAAGCACCGUCAUGAUCUUCAUCGUCACCGGCUUGACACCUUGAUAUCCAUCGCAGCGUCAUUGUCGUCUCGCCAACUACUGCUUCUACAACUAUCACUGCCGCAUAGUGAUAAAGUAAAGCAAUUACAUGGCGAUUGCAUUUCAUAUAAUAAAGCGACAACCAUAAGGCUCCUGCCAGUUGCCGUUAACUUUUACAAAACAUGAUCAUCUCAUACAAUAACUUAUAUCACAUCAUGUCUUGACCAUAUGCCAUCACAACAUGACCUGCAAAAACAAGUUAGACGUCCUCUACUUUGUUGUUGCAAGUUUUACGUGGCUGCUACGGGCUUCUAGCAAGACCCGUUCUUACCUACGCAUCAAAACCACAUCGAUUUUUCGUCAAGUGUGCUGUUUUAACCUUCCAUAAGGACCGGCCGUAGUCAAACUCGAUUCAACUAAAGUUGGAGAAACAGACACCUGCCAGCCACCUGUGUGCAAAGCACGUCGGUGGAACCAGUCUCAUGAACGCGGUCAUGUAAUGUCGGUCCGAGCCGCUUCAUCCAACAAUACCGCCGAAUCAAAGUAAGACGUUGGUGGUAAGCAGUAUGACUAUUAUCGCCCACAAGUCUUUGUGUUCUACUCGUGCAUAUCAUCUACGCAUAGACCUGGCUCGGAUGCCACUGUUGGGGAAAGUAGCAUGCAAUUUCAAAAAAUUUCCUACGAUCACGCUGUUGGGGAACGUAGCAGAAAUUCAAAAUUUUCUACGCAUCACCAAGAUCAAUCUAUGGAGUAAUCUAGCAACGAGGGAAAGGGGAGUGCAUCUACAUACCCUUGUAGAUCGCGAUGCGAAAGCGUUGCAAGAACGCGGAUGAAGGAGUCAUACUCGUAGCGAUUCAGAUCGCGGUUGAUUCCGAUCUAAGCGCCGAACCACGGCGCCUCCGCGUUCAACACACGUGCAGCCCGGUGACGUCUCCCACGCCUUGAUCCAGCAAGGAGAGAGGGAGAGGUUGGGGAAGACUCCAUCCAGCAGCAGCACGACGGCGUGGUGGUGAUGGAGGAGCGCGGUACUCCAGCAGGGCUUCGCCAAGCACUACGAGAGACGAGGAGGGAGAGGGGUAGGGCUGCGCCAAAGAGAGAAAUCAUCUCGUGUGUUUGCAGCCCCAAAUACCUCAAGUAUAUAUAGGGGAAGGGGAGGGGAUGCGCCCCCAUCUAGGGUUCCCUCCCCAGGGGUGGCGGCAGCCCCCAAAACCCAUCUAGGGUGCGGCCAAGGGGAAAAGAGAGGGGGGCGCCACUAGGGUGGGCCUUAAGGCCCAUCUGGACCUAGGGUUUGCCCCCUCCCACUCUCCCUGCGCCUUGGGACUUGGUGGGGGGGCGCACCAGCCCACCUGGAGCUGGUCCCCUCCCACACUUGGCCCACGCAGCCUUCUGGGGCUGGUGGCCCCACCUGGUGGACCCCUGGGACCCUCCCGGUGGUCCCGGUACAUUACCGAUAGCACCCGAAACUUUUCAGGUGACCAAAACAGGACUUCCCAUAUAUAAAUCUUUACCUCCGGACCAUUCCGGAACUCCUCUUGACGUCCGGGAUCUCAUCCGGGACUCCGAACAACAUUCGGUAACCACGUAUAUCUAUUCCCUAUAACCCUAGCGUCAUCGAACCUUAAGUGUGUAGACCCUACGGGUUCGGGAACCAUGCAGACAUGACCGAGACGUUCUCCGGCCAAUAACCAACAGCGGGAUCUGGAUACCCAUGUUGGCUCCCACAUGUUCCACGAUGAUCUCAUCGGAUGAACCACGAAGUCGGGGAUUCAAUCAAUCCCGUAUUCAAUUCCCUUUGUCUAUCGGUAUGCUACUUGCCCGAGAUUCGAUCGUCGGUAUCCCGAUACCUUGUUCAAUCUCGUUACCGGCAAGUCUCUUUACUCGUUCCGUAACACAUCAUCCCGUGAUCAACUCCUUGGUCACAUUGUGCACAUUAUGAUGAUGUCCUACCGAGUGGGCCCAGAGAUACCUCUCCAUUUACACGGAGUGACAAAUCCUAGUCUCGAUUCGUGCCAACCCAACAGACACUUUCGGAGAUACCUGUAGUGCACCUUUAUAGCCACCCAGUUACGUUGUGAUGUUUGGUACACCCAAAGCAUUCCUACGGUAUCCGGGAGUUGCACAAUCUCAUGGUCUAAGGAAACGAUACUUGACAUUAGAAAAGCUCUUAGCAAACGAACUACACGAUCUUGUGCUAGGCUUAGGAUUGGGUCUUGUCCAUCACAUCAUUCUCCUAAUGAUGUGAUCCCGUUAUCAACGACAUCCAAUGUCCAUGGUCAGGAAACCGUAACCAUCUAUUGAUCAACGAGCUAGUCAACUAGAGGCUUACUAGGGACAUGGUGUUGUCUAUGUAUCCACACAUGUAUAUGAGUUUCCUAUCAAUACAAUUCUAGCAUGGAUAAUAAACGAUUAUCAUGAACAAGGAAAUAUAAUAAUAACCAAUUUAUUAUUGCCUCUAGGGCAUAUUUCCAACAGUCUCCCACUUGCACUAGAGUCAAUAAUCUAGUUCACAUCACCAUGUGAUUAACACUCACAGGUCACAUCACCAUGUGACCAACAUCUAAAGAGUUUACUAGAGUCAACAAUCUAGUUCACAUCACUAUGUGAUUAGCACUCAAUGAGUUCUGGUUUGAUCAUGUUAUGCUUGUGAGAGAGGUUAUUAGUCAACGGGUCUGAACCUUUCAGAUCCGUGUGUGCUUUACGAAUAUCUAUGUCAUCUUGUGGAUACUACCACGCGCUACUUGGAGCCAUUUCAAAUAACUGCUCUACUAUACGAAUCCGGUUUACUACUCAGAGUCAUCCGGAUUAGUGUCAAACUUCGCAUCGACGUAACCCUUUACGACGAACUCCUUUUCACCUCCAUAAUCGAGAAAAUUCCUUAGUCCACUAGAUACUAAGGAUAAGUUCGACCGCUGUCAUGUGAUCCAUUCCCGGAUCACUAUUGUACCCCUUGACCAACUCAUGGCAAGACACACUUCAUGUGCGGUACACAGCAUAGCAUACUGUAGAGCCUACGCCUAAAGCAUAGGGGACGACCUUCGUCCUUUCUCUCUCUUCUGCUGUGGUCAGGUCUUGAGUCUUACUCAAUACUCACACCUUGUAACACAGCCAAGAACUCCUUCUUUGCUGAUCUAUUUUGAACUCUUUCAAAAUCAUGUCAAGGUGUGCGUUCUUUGAAAGUAUCAUCAGGCGUCUUGAUCUAUCUCUAUAGAUCUUGAUGCCCAAUAUGUAAGCAGCUUUAUCCAGGUCUUCCUUUGAAAAACUCCUUUCAAACAACCCUUUAUGCUUUCCAGAAAUUUUACAUCAUUUCGGAUCAACAAUAUGUCAUUCACAUAUACUUAUCAGAAAUGUUGUAGCGCUCCCACUCACUUUAUUGUAAAUACAAGUUUCUAACAAACUUUGUAUAAACCCAAAAACUUUGAUCACUCCAUCAAAGCGUAUAUUCUGACUCCGAGAUGCUUGCUCUAGUCCAUGGAAGGAUCGCUGGAGCUAGCAUACCUUUUAGCAUCCUUAGGAUCGACAAAACCUUUCUGAUUGUAUCACAUACAACCUUUCCUUACGUAAACUGGUAAGGAAACUUGUUUUGACAUCCAUCUGCCAGAUUUCAUAAAUGCAGCUAAUGCUAACAUGAUUCCGACGGACUUAAGCAUCGCUACGGAUGAGAAAAUCUCAUCGUAGUCAACUCCUUGAACUUGUGAAAAUACUCUUUGCCACAAGUCGAGCUUCAUAGACGGUAACAUUACCGUCCAUGUCCGUCUUCUUCUUAAAGAUCCAUUUAUCUCAAUGGCUUGCCGAUCAUCGGGCAAGUUCACCAAAGUCCAUGCUUUGUUCUGAUACAUGGAUCCUAUCUCGGAUUUCAUGGCUUCUAACCAUUUGUCGGAAUAUGGGCCCACCAUCGCUUCUCCAUAGCUCGUAUUGUCUAACAACAUGAUAUCUAAGACAGGAUUACCGUACCACUCAGGAGUAGUACAUAUCCUUGUCGACCUACGAGGUUUGGUAGUGACUUGAUCCGAAGUUUCAUGAUCAUUAUCAUAAGCUUCCACUUCAAUUGGUGUAGGUGCCACAGGAACAACUUCCUGUGCCCCUGCUACACACUAGUUGAAGUCAUGGUUCAAUAACCUCAUCAAGUCUCCACCAUCCUCCCACUCAAUUCUUUCGAGAGAAACUUUUCCUCGAGAAAGGACCUGUUUCUAGAAGCAAUUACUUUUGCUUCCAGAUCUGAAAUAGGAGGUAUACCCAACUUUUUGGGUAUUCUAUGAAGAUGCAUUUAUCCGCUUUGGGUUCGAGCUUAUUAGCCUGAAACUUUUUCACAUAAGCAUCGCAGCCCCAAACUUUUAAGAAACGACAACUUAGGUUUCUCUAAACGGUGUCGUCUCAACGGAAUUGCGUGGUGCCCCUUUUAAAGUGAAUGCGGUUAUCUCUAAUGCCUAACCCAUAAACGAUAGUGGUAAUUCGAUAAGAGACAUCAUUGUAUGCACCAUAUCCAAUAGGGUGCAGUUAUGAUGUUCGAACACACCAUCACACUGUGGUGUUCCAGGCGGUAUUAAUUGUGAAACACUUUCCACAAUGUCUUAAUUGUGUGCCAAACUCGUAACUCAGAUACUCAUCUCUAUGAUCAUAUCACAGACAUUUUAUCCUCUUGUCACGACGAUCUUCAACUUCACUCUGAAAUUACUUGAACCUUUCACUAAUUCAGACUUGUGUUUCAUCAAGUAAAUAUUCUCAGCAUCUACUCAAAUCAUCUGUGAACUAAGAACAUAUCGAUAUCCACUGCGUGCCUCAGCAUUCAUUGGACUGUACACAUCAAAUGUAUUACUUCCAACAAGUUGCUCUCUUGUUCCAUCUUACUGAAAACGAGGCCUUUCAGUCAUCUUGCCCAUGUGGUAUGAUUUGCAUGUCUCAAGUGAUUCAAAAUCAAGUUAGUCCAAACGAUCCAUCUGCAUGGAGUUUCUUCAUGCAUAUAUACCAAUAGACAUGGUUCGCAUGUCUCAAUCUUUUCAAAAAUGAGUGAGUCCAAAGAUCCAUCUACAUGGAGCUUCUUCAUGCGUUUUAUCCCAAUAUGACUCAAAUAGCAGUGCCACAAGUAUGUGGUACUAUCAUUACUUCUGGCAUGAACAUGUGUAUCACUACGAUCGAGAUUCAAUAAACCAUUUAUUUUAGGUGCAAGACCAUUGAAGGUAUUAUUCAAAUAAAAAGAGUAACCAUUAUUCUCCUUAAAUGAAUGACCGUAUUGCGAUAAACAUAAUCCAAUCAUGUUUAUGCUCAACACAAACACCAAUCUCGAUGGUGGAGGGAGCAUGCGAUGCCUGAUCACAUCAACCUUGGAAACACUUCCAACACACAUCGUCAUCUCACCUUUAGCUAGUCUCCAUUUAUUCCGCAGCUUUUGUUUCGAGUUACUUACACUUAGCAACCGAACCGGUAUCUAAUACCCUGGUGCUGCUAGGAGUACUAGUAAAGUACACAUGUAUAUCCAAUAUACUUCUGUCGACUUUGCCUGCCUUCUCAUCUACCAAGUAUCUAGGGUAAUACUGCUUCAGUGACCGUUCCCCUCAUUACAGGAGCACUUAGUCUCGGGUUUGGGUUUAACCUUGGGAUUCUUCACUAGAGCAGCAAAUGAUUUGCUGUUUCAUGAAGUAUCCCUUUUGCCCUUGCCCUUCUAGAAACUAGUGGUUUUACCAACCAUCAACAAUUGAUGCUCCUCCUUGAUUUCUACUUUCGCAGUGUCAAACAUCGUGAGUUGCCCAAGGAUCAUCAUAUCUAUCCCUGAUAUGUUAUAUUUCAUCACGAAGAUCUAAUAGCUUGGUGGUAGUGACUAUGGAGAACCAUCACUAUCUCAUCUGGAAGAUUAACUCCCACUCGAUUCAAGCGAUUGUGGUACUCAGACAAUCUGAGCACAUGCUCAACGAUUGAGCUUUUCUCCCUUAGUUUGCAGGCUUAAGAAACUUGUCAAAGGUCUCAUACCUCUUGACGUGGGCACUAGUCUGAAAUCCCAAUUUCAGUGUUCGGAACAUCCCAUAUGUUCUGCGACGUUUCAAAACGUCUUUGGUGCCACAAUUCUAAACCGUUAGCAUUACGCACUGAACUAUCACGUAGUCAUCAAAGCGUGUAUGUCAGAUGUUUCACAACAUCUACAGACGACGCUGAGGUUCAGCACACCGAGCGGUGCAUUAAGGAAAUAAGCCUUCUGUGCAUCAAUGAGGACAAUCCUCAGUUUACGGACCCAGUCCGCAUAGUUGCUACUAUCAACUUUCAACUAAAUUUUAUCUAGGAACAUAUCUUAAACAGUAGAACUAAAGCGCAAGCUAUGACAUAAUUUGCAAAGACCUUUUGACUAUGUUCAUGAUAAUUAAGUUCAUCUGAUUAAUGAACUCCCACUCAGAUAGACAUCCCUCUAGUCAUCUAAGUGAUACAUGAUCCGAGUCAAACUAGGCCGUGUCCGAUCAUCACGUGAGACGGACUAGUCAUCAUCGGUGAACAUCUCCAUGUUGAUCGUAUCUACUAUACGACUCAUGUUCGACCUUUCGGUCUCUUGUGUUCCCUGGCCAUGUCUGUACAUGCUAGGCUCGUCAAGUCGACCUAAGUGUUUCGCAUGUGUUCCGAGGCCAUGUCUGUACAUGCUAGGCUCGUCAACACCCGUUGUAUUCGAACGUUAGAAUCUAUCACACCCGAUCAUCACGUGGUGCUUCGAAACAACGAACCUUCGCAACGGUGCACAGUUAGGGGGAACACUUUCUUGAAAUUAUUAUAAGGGAUCAUCUUACUUACUACCGUCGUUCUAAGCAAAUAAGAUGAAAAACAUGAUAAACAUCACAUGCAAUCAAAUAGUGACAUGAUAUGGCCAAUAUCAUUUUGCUCCUUUGAUCUCCAUCUUCGGGGCACCAUGAUCAUCUUCGUCAUCGGCAUGACACCAUGAUCUCCAUCAUCAUGAUCUCCAUCAUUGUGUCUUCAUGAAGUUGUCACGCCAACGAUUACUUCUACUUCUAUGGCUAACGCGUUUAGCAAUAAAGUAAAGUAAUUUACAUGGCGUUAUUCAAUGACACGCAGGUCAUACAAAAAAUAAAGACAACUCCUAUGGCUCCUGCCGGUUGUCAUACUCAUCGACAUGCAAGUCGUGAUUCCUAUUACAAGAAUAUGAUCAAUCUCAUACAUCACAUAUAUCAUUCAUCACAUCUUCUGGCCAUAUCACAUCACAUAACACAUGCUGCAAAAACAAGUUAGACGUCCUCUAAUUGUUGUUGCAAGUUUUUUACGUCGCUUGUAUAGGUUUCUAGCAAGAAUGUUUCUUACCUACGUAAAACCACAACGUGAUAUGCCAAUUUCUAUUUACCCUUCAUAAGGACCCUUUUCAUCGAAUCCGUUCCGACUAAAGUGGGAGAGACAGACACCCGCUAGCCACCUUAUGCAACUAGUGCAUGUCAGUCGGUGGAACCUGUCUCACGUAAGUGUACGUGUAAGGUCGGUCCGGGCCGCUUCAUCCCACAAUACCGCCGAAACAAGAUAAGACUAGUAGCGGCAACAAGAAUUGGCAACAUCUACACCCACAACUACUUUGUGUUCUACUCGUGCAUAGUAACUACGGGUAGGCCUGGCUCAUGAUGCCACUGUUGGGGAACUUAGCAGAAAUUCAAAAUUUUCUACGCAUCACCAAGAUCAAUCUAUGGAGUAAUCUAGCAACGAGGGAAAGGGGAGUGCAUCUACAUACCCUUGUAGAUCGCGAUGCGGAAGCGUUGCAAGAACGCGGAUGAAGGAUUCGUACUCGUAGCGAUUCAGAUCGCGGUUGAUUCCGAUCUAAGCGCCGAACCACGGCGCCUCCGCGUUCAACACACGUGCAGCCCGGUGACGUCUCCCACGCCUUGAUCCAGCAAGGAGAGAGGGAGAGGUUGGGGAAGACUCCGUCCAGCAGCAGCACGACGGCGUGGUGGUGAUGGAGGAGCGCGGUACUCCAGCAGGGCUUCGCCAAGCACUACGAGAGGCUAGGAGGGAGAGGGGUAGGGCUGCGCCAAAGAGAGAAAUCAUCUCGUGUGUUUGCAGCCCCAAAUACCUCAAGUAUAUAUAGGGGAAGGGGAGGGGCUGCGCCCCCAUCUAGGGUUCCCUCCCCAGGGGUGGCGGCAGCCCCCAAAACCCAUCUAGGGUUCGGCCAAGGGGAAAAGAGAGGGGGGCGCCACUAGGGUGGGCCUUAAGGCCCAUCUGGACCUAGGGUUUGCCCCCUCCCACUCUCCCUGCGCCUUGGGCCUUGGUGGGGGGGCGCACCAGCCCACCUGGAGCUGGUCCCCUCCCACACUUGGCCCACGCAGCCUUCUGGGGCUGGUGGCCCCACCUGGUGGACCCCCGGGACCUUCCCAGUGGUCCCGGUACAUUACCGAUAGCACCCGAAACUUUUCCGGUGACCAAAACAGGACUUCCCAUAUAUAAAUCUUUACCUCCGGACCAUUCCGGAACUCAUCGUGACAUCCGGGAUCUCAUCCGGGACUCCGAACAACAUUCGGUAACCACGUAUAUCUAUUCCCUAUAACCCUAGCGUCAUCGAACCUUAAGUGUGUAGACCCUACGGGUUCGGGAACCAUGCAGACAUGACCGAGACGUUCUCCGGCCAAUAACCAACAACGGGAUCUGGAUACCCAUGUUGGCUCCCACAUGUUCCACGAUGAUCUCAUCGGAUGAACCACGAUGUCGGGGAUUCAAUCAAUCCCGUAUUCAAUUCCCUUUGUCUAUCGGUAUGCUACUUGCCCGAGAUUCGAUCGUCGGUAUCCCGAUACCUUGUUCAAUCUCGUUACGGGCAAGUCUCUUUACUCGUUCCGUAACACAUCAUCCCGUGAUCAACUCCUUGGUUACAUUGUGCACAUUAUGAUGAUGUCCUACCGAGUGGGCCCAGAGAUACCUCUCCGUUUACACGGAGUGACAAAUCCCAGUCUCGAUUCGUGCCAACCCAACAGACACUUUCGGAGAUACCUGUAGUGCACCUUUAUAGCCACCCAGUUACGUUGUGACGUUUGGUACACCCAAAGCAUUCCUAUGGUAUCUGGGAGUUGCACAGUCUCAUGGUCUAAGGAAACGAUACUUGACAUUAGAAAAGCUCUUAGCAAACGAACUACACGAUCUUGUGCUAGGCUUAGGAUUGGGUCUUGUCCAUCACAUCAUUCUCCUAAUGAUGUGAUCCCGUUAUCAACGACAUCCAAUGUCCAUGGUCAGGAAACCGUAACCAUCUAUUGAUCAACGAGCUAGUCAACUAGAGGCUUACUAGGGACAUGGUGUUGUCUAUGUAUCCACACAUGUAUCUGAGUUUCCUAUCAAUACAAUUCUAGCAUGGAUAAUAAACGAUUAUCAUGAACAAGGAAAUAUAAUAAUAACCAAUUUAUUAUUGCCUCUAGGGCAUAUUUCCAACACACGCAAGAUCUAUCUAGGAGAUGCAUAGCAAUGAGAGGGGGAGAGUGUGUCCACGUACCCUCGUAGACCAAAAGCGGAAGUGUUAGGUUAACGCGGUUGAUGUAGUCGAACGUCUUCACGAUCCAACCGAUCUUAGUACCGAACGUACGGCACCUGCGUGUUCAGCACACGUUCAGCUCGAUGACGUCCCUCGAACUCUUGAUCCAGAAGAGGGUCGAGGGAGAGUUCCAUCAGCAUGACGGUGUGGUGACGGUGAUGGUGAUGCGGUCCACGUAGGGCUUUGCUUAAGCACUAUGACGCUAUGAUCGGAGGCGUAAACUGUGGAGGGGGGCACCGCACAUGACUAAGAGAAUAACUGAUGUGCCUUUGGGGUGCCCCCCGCCCCCGUAUAUAAAGGAGCGGAGGAGGAGGCCGGUGGCCAGGAGGGGCGUGCCAUGGGGGGAGUCCUACUUGGACUCCCAGUCCAAGUAGGAUUCACCCCCCUUUUCCUUUCUCCACCGGAGGGAAAAGAAGGAGAGGGAGAAGGAAAGGGAAAGGGGGGCCACACCCCCCUCUUUGUCCUAUUCGGACUCCCUAGGAGGGGGGAACGCGCCACACACCCCCCCGCGGGCUUCCCUCUCUCUCCCUUAGGCCCAUGUAGGCCCAACACUUCUCCCGGGGGGUUUCGGUAACCCCUCGGUACUCCGGUAAAAUACCCGAAUCACUCGGAGCCAUUCUGAUGUCCGAAUAUAACCUUCCAAUAUAUGAAUCUUUAUCUCUCGACCAUUUCGAGACUCCUCAUCAUGUCCGUGAUCUCAUCCGGGACUCCGAACAAACUUCGGUCACCAAAACACAUAACUCAUAAUACAAAUCGUCAUUGAACGUUAAGCGUGCGGACCCUAUGGGUUCGAGAUCUAUGUAGACAUGACCGAGACACAUCUCCGGUCAAUAACCAAUAGCGGAACCUGGAUGCUCAUAUUGGCUCCUACAUAUUCUACGAAGAUCUUUAUCGGUCAAACCGCAUAACAACAUACGUCAUUCCCUUUGUCAUCGGUAUGUUACUUGCCUGAGAUUCGAUCGUCGGUAUCAUCAUACCUAGUUCAAUCUCGUUACCAUCAAGUCUCUUUACUCAUUCCGUAAUGCAUCAUCCCGCAACUAACUCAUUAGUCACAUUGCUUGCUAGGCUUAUAGUGAUGUGCAUUACCGAGAGGGCCCAGAGAUACCUGUCCGAUACACGGAGUGACAAAUCCUAAUCUUGAUCUAUGCCAACCCAACAAACACCUUCGGAGACACUUGUAGAGCAUCUUUAUAAUCACCUAGUGUUGGGGAACGUAGUAUUUCAAAAAAAUUCCUACGAUCACGCAAGAUCUAUCUAGGAGAAGCAUAGCAACGAGCGGGGAGAGUGUGUUCACGUACCCUCAUAGACCGAAAGCGGAAGCGUUAAGUAACGCGGUUGAUGUAGUCGAAUGUCUUUGUGAUCCAACCGAUCAAGUACCGAACGCAUGGCACCUCCACGAUCUGCACACAUUCAGCUCGGUGACGUCCCCCGAACUCUUGAUCCAGUUGAGGCCAAGGGAGAGUUUCGUCAGCACGAUGGCAUGGUGACGGUGAUGAUGAAGUUACCGGCGCAGAGCUCCGCCUAAGCACUACGAUGAUAUGACCGAGGUGUUGAACUGUGGAGGGGGCACCGCACACGGCUAGGAACAAUUGAUGUGUGUUCUAGGGGUGCCCUCCCCACGUAUAUAAAGGAGGGAGAGGGAGGGAGGCAGCCUAGGGCGCGCCCAAGUAGGAGGAAUCCUACUUGGGCCCCUAGUCCAAUUCGGCCCCCCUUACCAUAUUUGGACAAGGGGGAAAGGAAGGAGGGGGGCGGGGAAGGAAGUAGGAGUCCUACUUCAUACUUUCCUUUUCCUCCUCUCCUUUCCCUUUCUCCCCACGUGGCUGGCUCUAUAGGGGGUGCACCAUCCCCUUGUGGGCUGGUGUGUUCCCUUACUUGGCCCAUUAAGCCCAUAUCUUUGCCGGGGGUUGCCCGGAACCCUUUCCGAUGACCCGGUAUCACCCGGAACACUUCUGGUGUCCGAAUAUUGCCUUCCAAUAUAUGAAUCUUUACCUCUCGACCAUUUCAAGACUCCUUGUCAUGUCCGUGAUCUCAUCCGGGACUCCGAACAAACUUCGGUCAUCAAAUCACAUAACUCAUAAUACAAAUCGUCAUCGAACGUUAAGCGUGCAGACCCUACGGGUUCGAGAACUAUGUAGACAUGACCGAGACACAUCUCCGGUCAAUAACCAAUAGCGGAACCUGGAUGCUCAUAUUGGCUCCUACAUAUUCUACGAAGAUCUUUAUCGGUCAAACUGCAUAACAACUUACAUUGCUCCCUUUGUCAUCGGUAUGCUACUUGCCCGAGAUUCGAUCGUUGGUAUCAUCAUACCUAGUUCAAUCUCAUUACCGGCAAGUCUCUUUACUCGUUCUGUAAUGCAUCAUCCCACAACUAACUCAUUAGUCACAUUGCUUGCAAGGCUUAUAGUGAUGUGCAUUACCGAGAGGGCCCAGAGAUACCCCUCCGAUACACGGAGUGACAAAUCCUAAUCUUGAUCUAUGCCAACCCAACAAACACCUUCGGAGACACGUGUAGAGCAUCUUUAUAAUCACCCAGUUACGUUUUGACGUUUGAUAGCACACAAGGUGUUCCUCCAGUAUUCGGGAGUUGCAUAAUCUCAUAGUCAGAGGAACAUGUAUAAGUCAUGAAGAAAUCAAUAGCAAUAAAACUUAACGAUCAUUAUGCUAAGCUAACGGAUGGGUCUUCUCCAUCACAUCAUUUUCCUAAUGAUGUGAUCCCGUUCAUCAAAUGACAACACAUGUCUAUGGUCAAGAAACUUAACCAUCUUUGAUUAACGAGCUAGUCUAGUAGAGGCAUACUAGGGACACUUUGUUUUGUCUAUGUAUUCACACAUGUAUCAAGUUUCCGGUUAAUACAAUUCUGGCAUGAACAAUAAACAUUUAUCAUGAUAUAAGGAAAUGAAUAAUAACUUUAUUAUUGCCUCUAGGGCAUAUUUCCUUCACCCAGUUACGUUGUGACGUUUGCUAGCACACAAGGUGUUCCUCCGGUAUUCGGGAGUUGCAUAAUCUCAUAGUUAGAGGAAUAUGUAUAAGUCAUGAAGAAAGCAAUAGAAAUAAAACUAAACGAUCAUAAUGCUAAGCUAACGGAUGGGUCUUGUCCAUCACAUCAUUCUCUAAUGAUGUGAUCCUGUUCAUCAAAUGAAAACAGAUGUCUAUGGUCAGGAAACAUAACCAUCUUUGAUCAAUGAGCUAGUCAAGUAGAGGCAUACUAGGGACACUCUGUUUUGUCUAUGUAUUCACACAUGUACUAAGUUUCUGGUUAAUACAAUUCUAGCAUGAAUAAUAAACAUUUAUCAUGAUAUAAGGAAAUAUAAAUAACAAAUUUAUUAUUGCCUCUAGGGCAUAUUUCCUCCAAACAAUGUUUACAACACCUGCACACAAACACAGACACAAAAUAUAAAGGGGACUAAUAGACCAAGACAGAGGUAGUAGCACACGGCCGCUCUCUACGCAACGUCGUGAACGAUUGUUCGACCACCGUGUGAUGUGGAACGCGACGUAGUUUCACAUCAUGCCGCCGGCUCGCAACUGCCGGCCGGUUUGUAGACGACCAUUCCCUGCGUGUUCAACUGCUCUAUGCGUGUGGUUGCUCACGGUUGAGGCGGCCGCGGCGCGCUUUGCUCGCGUCCCGCUGUGCGCAUUCUGCUCUCGUGUCCCUCCGCGCGCUCUUCCCGUGUCCCUCCACGCGCGCUGCCAGUGUUUGGGGCCGGCGCAUGAUCACAUACGUCCGUGAUGCCAUUAUGCAUGCGGUUGCGCCGAGCGCGGCACCACGAUGCAGUUACCCACUGCAAAAACAGCCAUGUGGACGUGCCGACAAUCCAGGCCGCCCGACCCCCAUUUAUCCCCGUGGCCAUUUACCUUCAUCUCUCGCGCCGCACGAUACAAUAAGCACACCCACAACGACACAUACAGAGAGGACAUCCAGCGGUUCCAAUGGUGCUUCCCAUGGCUCCAGUGGCGCUCCCAGCGGCCAAUGACGACAACGGGGGGCAGUUCACCAUGCAUCACGUGGUGGACACCCAUGUGAGGGGGAAGGACCUCUCGGUGGUGUACACGAACGAGACGAUCUUGGUGGAGAGCUUCAUCCAAACUAUGGAGCAGUUGCUUGCUGAGGACAAGUACCAAGUGCUCGGCUUCAACCUCCAGUUCACCAGCGGUCGUGUCGGGCAAGAUCAGAAGGUUGUCGUUGCCCAGUUGUGUGUGUGAGAUGACGUCCUCGUCUACCGCUACCACCUGGCCACAAGGCCUUGCGAGCAUUUCACCAGGUUUAUCAAUAGCCCCGACUACAGUUUCACUAUGGUAGACACCACCAACGAUCUAAACACGCUCGAUGUUUCGGGCUUGGCCUGCCAGAAUCUUGUCAACAUCUGUGACCACUACAAGGUCUGGGCAGCACCAAGAACAAACAUAACUCUUUGGUUGACCUCACCUCGGCCAUCAACGACCCCUACUACAUGAAGAUGAAGGAUGAGAGUAAGAAGAACAAGAACGCCUGGCACAGUGCCUGGGAUCAGAGGCUGGAUAAAGAACACAUCAAGUACGCGGCCAAGGACGCGUACACAAGCUACAAGAUGUAUAGGCAGAUAGUUGACAUGAGGAAGUGUCUUUGUCCUGCCCCAAACGAGGGAUCGAGCCACAGAGCAGUGGCGGGGGCGUCAUAAGAAGUAGAUGACUAGAUGAUCGUUUCUCCUAGUUUAGAAUGCAUCCAAUUGUUUAUUGAGGUGUGUGCGAAUGAUUUAUAUAGUCACUUAUGUAAUUGGAUGUUAUUUUAGUUAUAUAUAUGUUGUUCUUCUGUAGACAGAGCAAAACACACGGCUUAUUAGCAGCAAUCGUCUGUGCUAUUAUCGGUCUUCACACACAUUUCUGAUUACAUACCUGUUUGUCGUGUAUCACACACAUCUUGUUCAUUUGAAGUGUUUCUGUUGUCUUGGCUCAUCGCAAAUAGUUCAUCCGAGUGAACUGUAUGCCCUCCAUCGCACACACCUUGAUCUGGCUGACCAUUUUUCUUGUGUUGCCUAAUCACACACAGUUCAUCCCAGUGAACUGUAUGUCGUAUAUCGCACACACCCUCAUCCGACUGACCAUUUUUGUUGUUCUGGCUCAUCGGAAAUAGUUCAUAUGGAUUAACCCUAUCCCGCGCAUCGCACACGCAGCUCUGAUCUGAAUCGUGUUUGAUGUCUGCGCCAUUGCAAACAGUUCGUAUCAUUUUUGACGGGUUUCUUACACCACCAUUUGUGAUUAAUGCAUCGCACACAGUUUCGUCAAAGGGUCUCUGAUUGUAGUGUCGCGUUUGGACAAUCCUGCAGUAGUGGGUGGAUAUUUCAGCUUCAGGUAUUUUUUUAUUAGUAACAAUAUCUUUCAUGUAUUUAGCAUAAGGGGUCAUCUUUAAAAUAUCAGCCAGACGAGUACGCAAAAAGACUUUCCUAAGCAUUUCAGCAAAGCGUUCAAAUUCUUCAUCAUCCUUUUUCUUAGAUGGUUUAGGUGGAAAGGGCAUGGGUUUCUGAACCAAUGGUUCUCUUUCUUUACCAUAUUUUCUAGCAACAAAGUCUGUUUUAUCAUAAUGUUUAUUUUUAGGUUGUGUGGGUUAUCAAGAUCAAUAACAGGUUCUAUUUCAACAUCAUUAUCUAGUUCUUUAUCAUUGUAUAGUUGAGCAUCUAUAUGAACAUCAUCGUUGUCAUUAUCAUUGUCACUAGGUGAAUGUUCAUUACCAGAUUUAGUUUUAGCAUCAUAAAUAGAAACAUCAUUAUCAUCAGAAGGUUUUUCCACCUCAAGUUCACUAGAAGUAUGCAAACUCCUAUCAUUUUGUUUUUGUUUUUCUUUUUAGAAGGACUAGGUGCAUUUACAUUAGUUCUUUGAGAGUCUUGUUCAAUUCUUUUAGGGUGAAAUUCAAGAUAAAGUGGCUCUUGGGUCAUUCUACCUCCUCUAGUCACUACUCUAAUAGCAUGAUCAUUCAUAUUAUUGUUCAUUUAAUUGAGUAACUCACUUUGAGGUUUAGCAACUUGUUCUAACUGAGUUUGAACCAUAGAGGCAUGUUUUCCUACUCCUCUAACAUCAUUAGUGAUUCUAAAUAACAAGUCAAUCAAGCGAGCAAUCAUAUCAGAAGUUUUCUUUAAUUGUUUCAUAACAUGGGUAUUGAAAUGAUCUUGCUUCAUAAUGUAAUUGUCAAUUUCAUAUAAGCAUUGACUAGGAGGUUUAUUAUAAAGGAUGCCACCUUCAUCAAACUUUAAAAGAGAAUUUACCUCUACCACCUGUGGUGGUGUGUCAAGACCAUGUAUUUCUUCAAUAGGUGGUAAAUUCUUAACAUCUUCAACUUUAAUACCUUUUUCCUUCAUACAUUUCUUUGCUUCUUGCAUAUCUUCAGGACUGAGAAAUAAAAUACCCCUCUUCUUCAGAGUGGGUUUAGGCGGUCGUUCAGGAAGUGUCCAAUCAUCAUAAUUCUUCAAUAUAUUAUUCAAUAAUUCCUCAGCUUGUUCAACAGUUUGUUCCUUGAAAACACAACCAACACAACUAUCUAGGAAGUCCCUCGAAGUAUCGGUUAGUCCAUUAUAGAAGAUAUCAAGUAUUUCAGUUUUGUUGAGGAUGAUCAGACAAAGCAUUAAGUAAUUGGAAAAGCCUCUCCCAAGCUUGUGGGAGACUCUCUUCUUCAAUUUGCACAAAGUUAAAUAUUUCCUGUAAGGAAGCUUGUUUCUUAUGAGCAGGAAAAUAUUUUUCAGAGAAGUAAUAAAUCAUAUCCUGGGGACUACGAACACAACCAGGAGCAAGAGUAUUGUACCAUAUCUUAGCAUCACCCUUUAAUGAGAAAGGAAAUAACUUAAGAAUAUAGUAAUAGCGAAUUUUGUCCUCAUGAGCAAAUAGGGCGGCUAUAUCAUUUAGUUUAGUAAGAUGUGCCACAACAGUUUCAGUUUCAUAACCAUGGAAAGGAUCAGAUUCAACCAAAGUAAUAUGGGUCUACAGAGAAUUUAUAAUCCUUAUCAGUAAUAAAGAUAGGUGAAGUAGCAAACUUAGGAUCAUAUUUCAUUAUAGCAUUCAAAGAUUUUCCUUUCAACUUGCAUAAUAAUUUCUUAAGAUCAUCUCUAUCCUUACAAGCAAGAAAGUCCCUAGCAACCUCUCCAUCCAUAACAUAACCCUCAGGUAUUUCAGGCAAUUCAUAUUUAGGAGAUCUAGGUCUAAUAGGUGUUUCAUAAUUCUCAGUUUCAAUAAUUUGAUCAGUUUCAACAUUCUCAAUUUCUUUAGCUCUAGCAAGUUUUUCAUCAAGAAAUUCUCCUAGUGGCACAUUCUUUUCAAGCAAGGUACUAGCAUCAUCAUAAGCAUCAUUCAUAUCAGAAGUAGCAUCAUCAAUUACUUGUGACAUAUCAGGAUUAAUAGCAUGUGGUGGUGUUGCAAGCUUGCAAAAAACAGAAGGUGAAUCAAGUGCAGAGCUAGUUAAACGUUCCUUACCUCCCCUCGUCUUAGAGGGAAAGAUCUUGGUUCUUUCAUCUUUAAGAUUCUCCAUAGUGAUCAGCAGAUAUAAAUCCCAAGUGACUCAACAAAUAUAGCUAUGUUCCCUAGCAACGUCGCCAGAAAAAGGUCUUGAUAACACACAAGUAUAGGGGAUCGCAACAGUUUUUGAGGGUAGAGUAUUCAACCCAAAUUUAUUGAUUUGACACAAAGGGGAGCCAAAGAAUAUUUGCAAGUUUUAGCAGUUGAGCUAUCAAUUCAAGCACACCUGGAGACUAAAUAUCUGCAGCAAAGUGAGCAGUAGCAUAGUAGUAUGGUAAUUUGAUAGUGAUAGCAAUAGUAGUAGCAACAAUAGUAACAGUAACAGUAGUAGCAAUGAUUUUGUAGAAAUUGUAACAGUAGCAAUAGUAAUAGUAACGCAGCAAAGAUCAAUAUGUGAAAAGCUCGUAGGCAUUGGAUCGGUGAUAUCGGUGAUUUCAUUGGAUGAUAUUCAUCAUAUAACAGUCAUAACCUAGGGCGACACAGAACUAGCUCCCGUUCGUCAAUAUAAUGUAGGCAUGUAUUCCGUAAAUAGUCAUACAUGCUUAUGGAAAAUGAACUUGCAUGACAUCUUUUGUCCUACCCUCCCGCGGCAGCGGGGUCCAUAAGGAAACUAAGGGAUAUUAAGGCCUCCUUUUAAUAGAGAACCGGAACAAAGCAUUAACACAUAGUGAAUACAGGAACUCCUCAAACUACGGUCAUCACCGGAAAGUAUCCCAAUUGUUGUCACCUUGGGGUUUGCGGAUCAUAACACAUAAUAGGUGCAUAUAACUUGCAAGAUCGGAUCAAGAACAUAGAUGUAAUGGUGAAAACAUAAACGGUUCAGAUCUGAAAUCAUGGCACUCGGGUCCUAGUGACAAGCAUUAAGCAUAGCAAAGUUAGAGCAACAUCAAUCUCCGAACAUAGUGGAUACUAGGGAUCAAGCCCUAACAAAACUAACUCGAUUACAUGAUGAAUCUCAUCCAACCCAUCACCGUCCAGCAAGCCUACGGAGAGAUUACUCACUCCCGGCGGUGAUCAUCAUGAAAUUGGUGAUGUAGAAUGGUUGAUGAUGAUGAAGACGGAAGAUUCCCCCUCUCCGAAGCCCCGAACGGGCUCCAGAUCUGGCCUCCCGAUGAAGAACAGGAGGUGGCGGCGGCUCCAUAUCGUAAAAUGCGAUGAAACUUCCUCUCUUAUUUAUUUCUCCAAAAAUACGAAUUUAUAGAGUUGGAAUUAGGGUCAGUGGAGUCACAUGGGCCCCACUACUCACUAGGACGCGCCAGAGGGGGGUGGCGCGCCCUGGUGCCUAGUGGGCAGCUGGGCCCCCCCUCCAGUGGGCCUUGGUUCUAGUAUGUUUUAUAUAUUUCAAAAUAACUCCAAAAAGUUUCGUCCGAUUCCGAGAACUUUGUUUCUGCACAAAAACAACAUCAUGGUAGUGAAGGAAAUAUGCCCUAGAGGCAAUAAUAAAGUAUUAUUUAUUUCCUUAUAUCAUGAUAAAUGUUUAUUAUUCAUGCUAUAAUUGUAUUAACCGGAAACAUAAUACAUGUGUGAAUACAUAGACAAACAGUGUGUCACUAGUAUGCCUCUACUUGACUAGCUCGUUAAUCAAAGAUGGUUAUGUUUCCUAGCCAUAGACAUGAGUUGUCAUUUGAUUAACGGGAUCACCUCAUUAGGAGAAUGACGUGAUUGACUUGACCCAUUCCGUUAGCUUAGCACCCGAUCGUUUAGUAUGUUGCUAUUGCUUUCUUCAUGACUUAUACAUGUUCCUAUGACUAUGAGAUUAUGCAACUCCCGUUUACCGGAGGAACACUUUGUGUGCUACCAGACGUCACAACGUAAAUGGGUGAUUAUAAAGGUGCUCUAUAGGUGUCUCCAAAGGUACUUGUUGGGUUGGCGUAUUUCGAGAUUAGGAUUUGUCACUCCGAUUGUCGGAGAGGUAUCUCUGGGCCCACUCGGUAAUGCACAUCACUAUAAGCCUUGCAAGCAUUGUGACUAAUGAGUUAGUUGCGGGAUGAUGUAUUACGGAACGAGUAAAGAGACUUGCCGGUAACGAGAUUGAACUAGGUAUCGAGAUACCGACGAUCGAAUCUCGGGCAAGUAACAUACCGAUGACAAAGGGAACAACGCAUGUUAUUAUGCGGUCUGACCGAUAAAGAUCUUCGUAGAAUAUGUAGGAACCAAUAUGAGCAUCCAGGUUCCGCUAUUGGUUAUUGACCGGAGAGGUGUCUCGGUCAUGUCUACAUAGUUCUCGAACCCGUAGGGUCCGCACGCUUAAAGUUACGAUGGCAGUUAUAUUAUGAGUUUAUAUGUUUUGAUGUACCGAAGGUUGUUCGGAGUCCCAGAUGUGAUCACGGACAUGACGAGGAGUCUUGAAAUGGUCGAGACAUAAAGAUUGAUAUAUUGGACGACUAUAUUCGGACACCGGAAGUGUUCCGGAGAAGUUUCGGAUAAAACCGGAGUGCCGGAGGGGUUACCGGAACCCCCCCGGGGAAGUAUUGGGCCUUAGUGGGCCUGAGGGGAGAGAGAGGGCAGCAGCCAGGAGGUGGCGCGCCCCCUCCCAUGAGGAGUCCGAAUUGGACUAGGGGAGGGGGCGCGGCCCCUCUUUCCCUCUCCCUCUCCCUCUCUUUCCUCCCCCCUCUCUCUUCCUAGUUGGACUAGGAAAGGGGAGUCCUACUCCUACUAGGAGGAGGAAUCCCCCCUCUCCUUGGCGCGCCCCAAGGGCAGCCGGCCUCCCCCUUGCUCCUUUAUAUACGGGGGCAGGGGGGCACCUCUACACACACAAUUGAUAUACGAUAUUUUAGCCGUGUGCGGUGCCCCCCUCCACCAUAUUACACCUCGAUAAUAUCGUUGCGGAGCUUAGGCGAAGCCCUGCGUCGGUAGAACAUCAUCAUCGUCACCACGCCGUCGUGCUGACGAAACUCUCCCUCAACACUCGGCUGGAUCGGAGUUCGAGGGACGUCAUCGAGCUGAACGUGUGCUGAACUCGGAGGUGCCGUGCGUUCGGUACUUGACCGGUCGGAUCGUGAAGACGUACGACUACAUCAACCGCGUUGUGAUAACGCUUCCGCUUUCGGUCUACGAGGGUACGUGGACAACACUCUCCCCUCUCGUUGCUAUGCAUCACCAUGAUCUUGCGUGUGCGUAGGAAUUUUUUUGAAAUUACUACGUUCCCCAACAGUGGCAUCCGAGCCUGGUUUUAUGCGUUGAUGCUAUGCACGAGUAGAACACAAGUGAGUUAUGGGCGAUAUAAGUCAUACUGCUUACCAGCAUGUCAUACUUUGGUUCAACGGUAUUGUGAGAUGAAGCGGCCCGGACCGACAUUACCCGUACGCUUACGCGAGACUGGUUUCACCGUUGGGAGCACUCGUUGCUUAAAGGUGACUGGCGGGUGUCUGUCUCUCUCACUUUAGUUGAACCGAGUGUGGCUACGCCCGGUCCUUGCGAAGGUUAAAACAGCACCAACUUGACAAACUAUCGUUGUGGUUUUGAUGCGUAGGUAAGAACGGUUCUUGCUAAGCCCGUAGCAGCCACGUAAAACUUGCAACAACAAAGUAGAGGACGUCUAACUUGUUUUUGCAGGGCAUGUUGUGAUGUGAUAUGGUCAAGAUAUGAUGCUAUAUUUUAUUGUAUGAGAUGAUCAUGUUUUGUAACCGAGUUAUCGGCAACUGGCAGGAGCCAUAUGGUUGUCGCUUUAUUGUAUGCAAUGCAAUCGCCAUGUAAUUGUUUUACUUUAUCACUAAGCGGUAGCGAUACUUGUAAAAGCAAUAAGUUGGCGAGAUGACAACAAUACUACGAUGGAGAUCAAGGUGUCGCGCCGGUGAUGAUGGUGAUCAUGACGGUGCUUCGGAGAUGGAGAUCACAAGCACAAGAUGAUGAUGGCCAUAUCAUAUCACUUAUAUUGAUUGCAUGUGAUGUUAAUCUUUUAUGCAUCUUAUCUUGCUUUGAUUGACGGUAGCAUUAUAAGAUGAUCUCUCACUAAAAUUUCAAGAUGAAAGUGUUCUCCCUGAGUAUGCACCGUUGCGAAAGUUCUUCGUGCUGAGACACCACGUGAUGAUCUGGUGUGAUAGGCUCUACGUUCAAAUACAACGGGUGCAAAACAGUUGCACACGCGGAAUACUCAGGUUAAACUUGACGAGCCUAGCAUAUGCAGGUAUGGCCUCGGAACACGGAGACCGAAAGGUCGAGCGUGAAUCAUAUAGUAGAUAUGAUCAACAUAGUGAUGUUCACCAUUGAAACUACUCCAUCUCACGUGAUGAUCGGACAUGGUUUAGUUGAUUUGGAUCACGUAAUCACUUAGAUGAUUAGAGGGAUGUCUAUCUAAGUGGGAGUUCUUAAGUAAUAUGAUUAAUUGAACUUGAAUUUAUCAUGAACUUAGUACCUGAUAGUAUCUUGCUUGUCUAUGUUAAAUGUAGAUAAAUGGCCCGUGUUGUUGUUCCGUUGAAUUUUAAUGCGUUCCUUGAGAAAGCAAAGUUGAAAGAUGAUGGUAGCAAUUACACGGACUGGGUCCGUAACUUGAGGAUUAUCCUCAUUGCUGCACAGAAGAAUUACGUCCUAGAAGCACCGCUAGGUGCCAGGCCUCCUGCAAGAGCAACGCCAGAAGUUAUGAACGUCUAGCAGAGCAAACCUGAUGACUACUCGAUAGUUCAGUGUGCCAUGCUUUACGGCUUAGAACCGGGUCUUCAACGACGUUUUGAACGCCAUGGAGCAUAUGAGAUGUUCCAGGAGUUGAAGUUAAUAUUUCAAGCAAAUUCCCGGAUUGAGAGAUAUGAAGUCUCCAAUAAGUUCUAUAGCUGCAAGAUGGAAGAGAAUAGUUAUGUCAGUGAGCAUAUACUCAAAAUGUCUGGGUAUAAUAAUCACUUGAUUCAACUGGGAGUUAAUCGUCCGGAUGAUAGCGUCAUUGACAGAAUUCUUCAAUCACUGCCACCAAGCUACAAGAGCUUCGUGAUGAACUAUAACAUGCAAGGGAUGGAUAAGACAAUUCCCGAGCUCUUCGCAAUGCUAAAGGAAGCGGAGGUAGAAAUCAAAAAGGAGCAUCAAGUGUUGAUGGUCAGUAAAACCACUAGUUUCAAGAAAAAGGGCAAAGGGAAGAAGAAGGGGAACUUCAAGAAGAACAGCAAGCAAGUUGCUGUUCAGGAGAAGAAAUCCAAGUCCGGACCUAAGCCUGAAACUGAGUGCUUCUACUGUAAGCAGACUGGUCACUGGAAGCGGAACUGCCCCAAGUAUUUGGCAAAUAAGAAGGAUGGCAAGGGUAACAAAGGAAUAUGUGAUAUACAUGUUAUUGAUGUGUACCUUACUAAUACUCGCAGUAGCACCUGGGUAUUUGAUACUGGUUCUGUUGCUAAUAUUUGCAACUCGAAACAGGGGCUACAGAUUAAGCGAAGAUUGGCUAAGGACGAGGUGACGAUGCGCGUGGGAAAUGGUUCCAAAGUCGAUGUGAUCGCCGUCGGCACGCUGCCUCUACAUCUACCUUCGGGAUUAGUUUUAGACCUAAAUAAUUGUUAUUUGGUGCCAGCGUUGAGCAUGAACAUUAUAUCUGGAUCUUGUUUAAUGCGAGACGGUUAUUCAUUUAAAUCAGAGAAUAAUGGUUGUUCUAUUUAUAUGAAUAAUAUCUUUUAUGGUCAUGCACCCUUGAAGAGUGGUCUAUUUUUAAUGAAUCUCGAUAAUAGUGAUACACAUAUUCAUAAUGUCGAAGCCAAAAGAUGCAGAGUUGAUAAUGACAGUGCAACUUAUUUGUGGCACUGCCGUUUGGGUCAUAUCGGUGUAAAGCGCAUGAAGAAACUCCAUACUGAUGGACUUUUGGAAUCACUUGAUUAUGAAUCACUUGGUACUUGCGAACCGUGCCUCAUGGGCAAGAUGACCAAAACACCGUUCUCCGGAACUAUGGAGAGAGCAACAGAUUUGUUGGAAAUCAUACAUACAAAUGUAUGUGGUCCGAUGAAUAUUGAGGCUCGUGGCGGAUAUCGUUAUUUUCUCACCUUCACAGAUGAUUUGAGCAGAUAUGGGUAUAUCUACUUAAUGAAACAUAAGUCUGAAACAUUUGAAAAGUUCAAAGAAUUUCAGAGUGAAGUUGAAAAUCAUCGUAACAAGAAAAUAAAAUUUCUACGAUCUGAUCGUGGAGGAGAAUAUUUGAGUUACGAGUUUGGCCUACAUUUGAAACAAUGCGGAAUAGUUUCGCAACUCACGCCACCCGGAACACCACAGCGUAAUGGUGUGUUCGAACGUCGAAAUCGUACUUUAUUAGAUAUGGUGCGAUCUAUGAUGUCUCUUACUGAUUUACCACUAUCGUUUUGGGGUUAUGCUUUAGAUACGGCUGCAUUCACUCUAAAUAGGACACCAUCGAAAUCCGUUGAGACGACGCCUUAUGAACUAUGGUUUGGCAAGAAACCAAAGUUGUCGUAUCUUAAAGUUUGGGGUUGCGAUGCUUAUGUGAAGAAACUUCAACCUGAUAAGCUCGAACCUAAAUCGGAGAAAUGUGUCUUCAUAGGAUACCCAAAGGAGACUGUUGGGUACACCUUCUAUCACAGAUCCGAAGGCAAGAUAUUCGUUGCUAAGAAUGGAUCCUUUCUAGAGAAUGAGUUUCUCUCGAAAGAAGUGAGUGGGAGGAAAUUAGAACUUGAUGAGGUAACUGUACCUGAUCCCUUAUUGGAAAGUAGAUCAUCACAGAAAUCAGUUCCUGUGACACCUACACCAAUUAGUGAGGAAGUUAAUGAUAAUGAUCAUGAAACUUCAGAUCAAGUUAUUACUGAACCUCGUAGGUCAACUAGAUCAAGAUCCGCACCAGAGUGGUACGGUAAUCCUGUUCUGGAGGUUAUGUUACUAGACCAUGACGAACCUACGAACUAUGAAGAAGCGAUGGUGAGCCCAGAUUCCGCAAAAUGGCUUGAAGCCAUGAAAUCCGAGAUGGGAUCCAUGUAUGAGAACAAAGUAUGGACUUUGGUUGACUUGCCCGAUGGUCGGCAAGCCAUUGAAAAUAAAUGGAUCUUCAAGAAGAAGACUGACGCUGAUGGUAAUGUUACUGUCUAUAAAGCUCGACUUGUUGCGAAAGGUUUUCAACAAGUUCAAGGGAUUGACUACGAUGAGACCUUCUCACCCGUAGCGAUGCUUAAGUCUGUCCGAAUCAUGUUAGCAAUUGCCGCAUUUUAUGAUUAUGAAAUUUGGCAAAUGGAUGUCAAAACUACAUUCCUGAAUGGAUUUCUGGAAGAAGAGUUGUAUAUGAUGCAACCGGAAGGUUUUGUCGAUCCAAAGGGAGCUAACAAAGUGUGCAAGCUCCAGCGAUCCAUUUAUGGACUGGUGCAAGCCUCUCAGAGUUGGAAUAAACGCUUUGAUAGUGUGAUCAAAGCAUUUGGUUUUAUACAGACUUUUGGAGAAGCCUGUAUUUACAAGAAAGUGAGUGGGAGCUCAAUAGCAUUUCUGAUAUUAUAUGUGGAUGACAUAUUGCUGAUUGGAAAUGAUAUAGAAUUUUUGGAUAGCAUAAAGGGAUACUUGAAUAAGAGUUUUUCAAUGAGAGACCUCGGUGAAGCUGCAUAUAUAUUAGGCAUUAAGAUCUAUAGAGAUAGAUCAAGACGCUUAAUUGGACUUUCACAAAGCACAUACCUUGACAAAGUUUUGAAGAAGUUCAAAAUGGAUCAAGCAAAGAAAGGGUUCUUGCCUGUACUACAAGGUGUGAGAUUGAGUAAGACUCAAUGCCCGACCACUGCAGAAGAUAGAGAGAAGAUGAAAGAUGUUCCCUACGCUUCAGCCAUAGGCUCUAUCAUGUAUGCAAUGCUGUGUACCAGACCUGAUGUGUGCCUUGCUAUAAGUUUAGCAGGGAGGUACCAAAGUAAUCCAGGAGUGGAUCACUGGGCAGCGGUCAAGAACAUCCUGAAAUACCAGAAAAGGACUAAGGCUAUGUUUCUCAUUUAUGGAGGUGACAAAGAGCUCAUCGUAAGUGGUUACGUUGAUGCAAGCUUUGACACUGAUCCGGACGAUUCUAAAUCGCAAACCGGAUACGUAUUUACAUUGAACGGUGGAGCUGUCAGUUGGUGCAGUUCUAAGCAAAGUGUCGUGGCGGGAUCUACGUGUGAAGCGGAGUACAUAGCUGCUUCGGAAGCAGCAAAUGAAGGAGUCUGGAUGAAGGAGUUCAUAUCCGAUCUAGGUGUCAUACCUAGUGCAUCGGGACCAAUGAAAAUCUUUUGUGACAAUACUGGUGCAAUUGCCUUAGCAAAGGAAUCCAGAUUUCACAAGAGAACCAAGCACAUCAAAAGACGCUUCAAUUCCAUCCGGGAUUUAGUCCAGGUGGGAGACAUAGAAAUUUGCAAGAUACAUACGGAUCUGAAUGUUGCAGACCUGUUGACUAAGCCUCUUCCACGAGCAAAACAUGAUCAGCACCAAGACUCCAUGGGUGUAAGAAUCAUUACUGUGUAAUCUAGAUUAUUGACUCUAGUGCAAGUGGGAGACUGAAGGAAAUAUGCCCUAGAGGCAAUAAUAAAGUAUUAUUUAUUUCCUUAUAUCAUGAUAAAUGUUUAUUAUUCAUGCUAGAAUUGUAUUAACCGGAAACAUAAUACAUGUGUGAAUACAUAGACAAACAGUGUGUCACUAGUAUGCCUCUACUUGACUAGCUCGUUAAUCAAAGAUGGUUAUGUUUCCUAGCCAUAGACAUGAGUUGUCAUUUGAUUAACGGGAUCACCUCAUUAGGAGAAUGACGUGAUUGACUUGACCCAUUCCGUUAGCUUAGCACCCGAUCGUUUAGUAUCUUGCUAUUGCUUUCUUCAUGACUUAUACAUGUUCCUAUGACUAUGAGAUUAUGCAACUCCUGUUUACCGGAGGAACACUUUGUGUGCUACCAAACGUCACAACGUAAAUGGGUGAUUAUAAAGGUGCUCUACAGGUGUCUCCAAAGGUACUUGUUGGGUUGGCGUAUUUCGAGAUUAGGAUUUGUCACUCCGAUUGUCGGAGAGGUAUCUCUGGGCCCACUCGGUAAUGCACAUCACUAUAAGCCUUGCAAGCAUUGUGACUAAUGAGUUAGUUGCGGGAUGAUGUAUUACGGAAUGAGUAAAGAGACUUGCCGGUAACGAUAUUGAACUAGGUAUCGAGAUACCGACGAUCGAAUCUCGGGCAAGUAACAUACCGAUGACAAAGGGAACAACGUAUGCUGUUAUGCGGUCUGACCGAUAAAGAUCUUUGUAGAAUAUGUAGGAACCAAUAUGAGCAUCCAGGUUCCGCUAUUGUUUAUUGACCGGAGAGGUGUCUCGGUCAUGUCUACAUAGUUCUCGAACCCGUAGGGUCCGCACGCUUAAAGUUACGAUGACAGUUAUAUUAUGAGUUUAUAUGUUUUGAUGUACCGAAGGUUGUUUGGAGUCCCGGAUAUGAUCACGGACAUGACGAGGAGUCUCGAAAUGGUCGAGACAUAAAGAUUGAUAUAUUGGACGACUAUAUUCGGACACCAGAAGUGUUCCGGAGAAGUUUCGGAUAAAACCGGAGUGCCGGAGGGGUUACCGGAACCCCCCCGGGGAAGUAUUGGGCCUUAGUGGGCCUGAGGGGAGAGAGAGGGCAGCAGCCAGGAGGUGGCGCGCCCCCUCCCAUGAGGAGUCCGAAUUGGACUAGGGGAGGGGGGCGCGGCCCCUCUUUCCCUCUCCCUCUCCCUCUCUUUCCUUCCCCCUCUCUCUUCCUAGUUGGACUAGGAAAGGGGAGUCCUACUCCUACUAGGAGGAGGACUCCCCCCUCUCCUUGGCGCGCCCCAAGGGCAGCCGGCCUCCCCCCUUGCUCCUUUAUAUACGGGGGCAGGGGGGCACCUCUACACACACAAUUGAUAUACGAUAUUUUAGCCGUGUGCGGUGCCCCCUCCACCAUAUUACACCUCGAUAAUAUCGUUGCGGAGCUUAGGCGAAGCCCUGCGUCGGUAGAACAUCAUCAUCGUCACCACGCCGUCGUGCUGACGAAACUCUCCCUCAACACUCGGCUGGAUCAGAGUUCGAGGGACGUCAUCGAGCUGAACGUGUGCUGAACUCGGAGGUGCCGUGCGUUCGGUACUUGAUCGGUCGGAUCGUGAAGACGUACGACUACAUCAACCGCGUUGUGAUAACGCUUCCGCUUUCGGUCUACGAGGGUACGUGGACAACACUCUCCCCUCUCGUUGCUAUGCAUCACCAUGAUCUUGCGUGUGCGUAGGAUUUUUUUUUAAAUUACUACGUUCCCCAACAGGUAGUUCUACUGAAAACAACUUCAGUCCGGGUUAGUUUCAUUCAAAUCAUGCAAAUUAGAGUCCAAGGCAGGAGCAAAAGCAUUAGGAAAAGUAGUUACGAUGGAAACGUAUCAAAAAGUACUCACACAUGGUCAUGGUGAUAGCAAGGUUGACGAAGAUAGCUCCGGUGAUGGAUUCCCUCUCCGGAGGGUACCAAAACAGGCCUUCAGAUUAGAUCUUCUCGGAAUAGGAACUUGUAGCGGACGAAAGAAAUCGCAAAAAAAUGAUAUGGAUGGUUUCUGGAAUUGUGGGAUUUAUAGGGAAAAAAAUGAACGUAAGGCGCUGGCCCGAGGCCCCAUGCGCCUCCCCACAUGGGUGGGGCCUAGGACGCGCCACCUGGCUGCGUGGGGGCCUAGGGUGGCCCACUGGCCCCUUCUGGUGCCUUUUCGAUUCUUUUAUCUCCGAAAAAUUCCUCGUAAAUCCUUAAGCUAUUUUGCGCUCCGUAAAUAUCGAUUAUUUGAAAGUCAAAAAAAUACAAAAAACAACAACUAGCUCUGGGCACUGGUUAGUCCAAUAUAUAAUAAAAAUUGCUAUAAAAAAUAUAUAAAAGUAAUAUUAUAAUAGCAUGAAACAAUCAACAAUUACAGAUACGUUUCAAACAUAUCAGUCACCAUCCCUUGCAGCAACAACAGGUUGUCUUGCCGCACUACCAUCGAUGACUUCCCUACAACACCGUCACCACCCUUGGAGCACCAACUUGACAUGAAUCGCUAGGGCACUCUCUUCCCCGUCUAGUAGCAAGCCAUGUACAAAGUGGCACCGACCACGAUUGCUACAAUGACAGUCCCUCUGUUGUAUUUUUUUUUUUUCGGAAAAACUUCCAAUCUAUUCAUCUUCAAUCAUGGCAGUACAACGAACACCAGAAAUAAAAUUACAUCCAGAUCUGUAGACCACCUAGCGACGACUACAAGCACUGAAGCGAGCCGAAGGCGCGCCGCCGUCAUCACCCCUCCAUCGCCGGAGUCGGGCACAACUUGUUGUAGUAGACAGUCGGGAAGUCGUCGUGCUAAGGCCCCAUAGGACCAGCGCACCAGAAUAGCAACCGCCGCCGAUGAAGAAUAACGUAGGUUGAAAGGAUUCAACCCGAAGACACAAGAACGUAGACGAACAACGACGAGAUCCGAGCAAAUCUAUCAAAGAUAGAUCCGCCGGAGACACACCUCCACACGCCUACCAACGAUGCUAGAUGCACCGCUGGAACAGGGGCUAGGCGGGGAGACCUUUAUUCCAUCUUCAGAGAGCCGCCGCCGUCUCGUCAUCCUGAGCAGGACACAAACCCUAACAAGACAAGAAAAAACAACUGAAAACGGAGCCCUCCCGCCGGCCCUUGGCAGGAUCCACCGCGCCCCCAUGGCCCUAGGGCCACCAGAGACGAGGCGGACCUGCGGCGGCGCCGGCGAGAAGCAGAAACCCUAGCUUUCUUUCUUGGAGGAGGAGGAGGUGUUUGCCUGGUAUUUUUAUCCCCUCUGUUGUAAUCUGGAGCCUAGUGUUGCGGACAUUCACCAAUUGUGGAUACUAGUGCAGUGGACACUCUGUCGCAGCGCCCACGCCGAGAGCCAAGAUCCGCUGUUCAUCUUGCAGGAGCCCCGCUACGGAUGCGCCGGGCUACAGGCCUCUAGCCGCCAAUUGUUCCAAAGCAAACACAACGCUCACUAGAGUUCGCUACCCUAAACUAUUUUUCCCGUGUGCGUGCACGGUGGUGAUAGGAUGAUAGUUGAAACGUCUGGUGGCGUGAGGAUCAUAGAUAGGAGCAGACCGGAUGGCUUAUGGAGCGGCUGAUUUUUUCCAAAAAUUAUACGGUUGACGCUUAGCACGCACCUUUUGUUAUUUUUUUACUAACCGUUUAUUUAUUAAUAUUUCCCAGGCAUGUUUUGGUUUUUCUUUACAAUUUUUAUGUUUUUCUUUGUGCUCAUUUUUUUAUUUUUUUUGCUUUAUCCUUUAAUUUUUCUUCUUUUUAUGUCUUCUUUUCAUACACAUUUUUUUAUAAGAUGUGAUGACCAUUUUUACAAUCUAUCAAUNNNNNNNNNNNNNNNNNNNNNNNNNNNNNNNNNNNNNNNNNNNNNNNNNNNNNNNNNNNNNNNNNNNNNNNNNNNNNNNNNNNNNNNNNNNNNNNNNNNNNNNNNNNNNNNNNNNNNNNNNNNNNNNNNNNNNNNNNNNNNNNNNNNNNNNNNNNNNNNNNNNNNNNNNNNNNNNNNNNNNNNNNNNNNNNNNNNNNNNNNNNNNNNNNNNNNNNNNNNNNNNNNNNNNNNNNNNNNNNNNNNNNNNNNNNNNNNNNNNNNNNNNNNNNNNNNNNNNNNNNNNNNNNNNNNNNNNNNNNNNNNNNNNNNNNNNNNNNNNNNNNNNNNNNNNNNNNNNNNNNNNNNNNNNNNNNNNNNNNNNNNNNNNNNNNNNNNNNNNNNNNNNNNNNNNNNNNNNNNNNNNNNNNNNNNNNNNNNNNNNNNNNNNNNNNNNNNNNNNNNNNNNNNNNNNNNNNNNNNNNNNNNNNNNNNNNNNNNNNNNNNNNNNNNNNNNNNNNNNNNNNNNNNNNNNNNNNNNNNNNNNNNNNNNNNNNNNNNNNNNNNNNNNNNNNNNNNNNNNNNNCACCCACACACACACACCGGUCGCCUCUCUGGCGACCCGGGCGGAGUCCAGUUCCACGCCGCCGGCCACCCUUCUCACCCCUUCCCUCCCCGCCGCCGUCGCCGGAGGAUGCCGCCGGGCGAAGCCCGCGUGGUGGUGCGGGCGCUCUUCUCGCCUGGCGGCUCUCAGUGGGGGAGGCCCGACCCACUUCUCUGCUCUGCGUGGUUGCUCGCAGCCGGUGGGCUUCCGCCGACGCUCCUCUCCGGCGAGUCGAGGUCUGGUGGCGCCCCCCUUCUUCUCCGGUGAUUGGGGCGAUCCCCUCGUGUUCAACUCCGGGCCGGCUUCUGGCGGCCAUCUCGGCAAUCCAACGGCGGCGGCUCGCCAGAUCUGGGUGAGUACGGCCGGAUCCGGCUCUCCCACAGUGGUGGGCAGCUGUGCCUGCUGGGUGCUCCGGUUGGUGGUUGAGUUGUGGCUGGACAUGGCGGCUGUGGUGCGGGCUGUGUUGGGUUCAACCCGACAGCUCGUCCAGGUGGGAUUCGGGAUGGGGUGGCAGCCUUCCCCCUCGGCUCCGGUGUUGCUACGAGGAUCUGCUGCUUCGUGGUGGCACAACUCAAGGUGGGUGCCACAUCUGCUGGCCAUGGCUCGUCUGCGGUUGCGGACGAUGCACUUGGACUCCGGGGCGGCGGCCCCGAGUGUGGUGGCGGCGGCUUCGGCCAUGGGGUGGUGCGUGUCUGGUGGCGGUGGAUCGUGGGAUCCCGUGGCCAGAGUGAGGUCGGCCUCGGAGGGGUGGUGGUUAGUGGGCGGCGGUCGGUGGUGGCAGGUGGUCGGCACAUCUCCUGGAGAAAUCCUUGCUCCGGUCUUCACCGGAGUAGGCGACGGCGGUGCCCGCGGGUGCCGCGAUCUUUCUUGGUAGCGUCAUCAUGGAGGUGCUCCUCCUCCACACGGCUUUGGCUCCGGAGGAAAACCUCAGAUCAACUGGAUCGGGUGAUGGAGGCGUCUACGCGUCUUUCUCCUCCUUGGGGGCAUCGUCUCGGAGCCGGCUACGACUGAGAGGUUGGUGGAUGAUGGCAUCUUCGCCGUCGAUGGCGGCAUCUUCGCCGCGUGGUUUGCUGAGGCGGGGCGCUGGUUUCUGUUUGGCAACGAUGAUGGCGUCGAGAGGAGCUUGGGUCGUGGCGUGGUCUUCCGUAGUCGGUUCUUCCCGGCGUGUCCGAGGUGCUCUUCUGUGGUUGCUUGGUUGCUUUGAAGUCGGAGCUGCGUUGGAGCGAGUCCAGGUGGUGACGAUGACAGGUAUUCGGUGGUCGUUUGCGGAGGGCACGGUUGGCGCAAGUCCUGCAUAUUUCCUUUAUGUUGCUCGUCGUCAGAAUCGGAGAUGUCGGUUGCUUGCACGUGUGGCCAUCAGUUGGCAUGUGUCGUCGUGGUUGUUCCAUGUCGGUGGCCUGGUUGGCCAGUGCCCGGUGGUGCCCAUGCCAUGUGGGUUGUGUUGUAUCGGUUUUAGCCUGGUUUUUCGUCAAUUAACCAGGUAAUUUUUUUCUUCUUAAUCAAUGAAAAUGGCAAGUCUUUUGCCUCAUUUCAAAGAAAAUUGUGUAUAUGGAGGUGACAUCGCACACGUUGGACAACAAAUAGCAAUUUUAUGCGAUCGAUCGAGCAAAUGGAGAUCAACUAGCAGCAGCUGGGUAUAGAGUACGGUGCGAAAGAGACCAAGAAUCAAACUUAACGUCGGUGCCGAGGAGGAUUCGGCAGCUGCAAGUCAGUAAUGGCGUAUGCCAGUCGGGACAGCAAAUCGGCGUCGGUGUUCUCCUUCCUCAUCGGAUUCUUCUUCGCACUCCCCUCGAACAAUUGGAUGUCGCAGCUGUCGGGCACUCCAUUGGCAUCCAACAAUUUGCCGGACGCCGCCUCGACGCGCCCGGCACGUAGGUCACCGAGCGCGGCGUCCAGGGUC
Molecule: long non-coding RNA, 53216 nt
Filed under: Triticum aestivum (bread wheat)
Lineage: Eukaryota; Viridiplantae; Streptophyta; Magnoliopsida; Poales; Poaceae
Description: long non-coding RNA (TAES_LNC009392)
Source: RNAcentral